RNAcentral lists this long non-coding RNA (49397 nucleotides) under Malus domestica (apple). Its description in RNAcentral is "long non-coding RNA (MDOM_LNC009157)". Lineage: Eukaryota; Viridiplantae; Streptophyta; Magnoliopsida; Rosales; Rosaceae. The record is from RNAcentral.
UUUUUUUUUUUUUUUGUAGGGAAUCGUUGGGACUUUGAUGGUUAAAGUUGAGGAGUUGAGGAUUAUGACACUAUAGGACCAUAUCCGCUAUCACCACCACCACAAUAGACUUGUAUUAGGAUUUUAUUAUUGUAAUUUGUUAAUUUAUAUGUACAUAUUUAAUAAAAUGUAUAUUGUGGAUAAUUUGAUCACUAUUUUUCGUAUUUAUUUUAUUUUGAAUAUGUCAAUUUAAAUUAAAGUAACAAAAAAAAAUAAAGCCAUACAAUUAAAUUAAAUUAAAAAUUAAAAAAAUCUUGCACUAACAAAAGGUCAAUUUAAUUAAAUAAAAAAUAAAAACAAAAAACUUUUGUGGCUCAAAAUCUUGCGCUACCAAAUAUUUUGUUGCGCAAAAUAUUAAAUUAAUUUAAUUAAAUUAAAAAAUCAAAAAUAACAAAUUUUGCGUGACAAACCAUGCUUUCGUCGCGCAAAGUUUUGAGUGAUGAAAUCUUACUUCGCGCAACAAAUCUUAUUUUGUUGCACAAAGUGUUUUUUGUAACUGUGGGUACAGCUUCAAGUUGGCUGCAAAAGCAUAGAAAUCGCCUUUUGGAUCGAUGGAAUCUUUUAUUGAAAAGGGAAAGAGUGGAAAAUGGAACUGUAGUUUUAAAUUGGCGAUUUACGGGAAGGAUAUUUUUAUGGAAUGAACUAUGUGGAAGAUAUAUGCAUGGAAGGUUCUAAUUGAGUGAAUGAUACAUGGUCUCAGCAAACUUUUCACUUUGGACUGCUCUCUUUUGUGCAUCUGUUGUGUGGAUUUAUUUGCUUUGAAGGUACUCAAAGUAGAAUAAAAAUUGGAACAAUCACUGAACAAAUUUAAUCGGCUAGGAAUGAGCUAACAAUAUAUAUAUCAAACACGCGUAAGCAUGCGCGUCACAUAUAACUCCAUCCUGCAAUUAUAGGAGGGGAGAAAUCAGGAGUCGCAGAGAAUAACCAAUGCGAGCAUAUGUGAGCACCACCAAUCAGCAAUGCCGACCAUUUUGGGUGCACCAAGGAAUUGUUAUCAAGUCGUUGGAAGAUCAAGAUAUUCAAGAUCACGUAAUAGCUAGCUAGAUAGGGUUGUGUAGAGUAUAACGACGUGGCUGGGUUUGAAGCAGCAAAUAAUUAACAUGGUAUUUUCGUUCUUGUACGGUGAUUCUUGAUGUCAGAAGAAUCAUAAGGAACAGACCAAGAUAUUGUGGGCGCAAGGAUUCGAUUGUGUCCUCACACUCAUUUUCCUCGUCAACUUGUCGUUCUUCUCAAAGUGCAUAUUGCAAGUCUUGGCUCCACGUUGGUUUUGCCUGCAGUAGAAUAAAUUUUAACAGCUGUGAGUUUAUGCCAAAGCCGACCCACAAGCAAGCCGAACAAGACAUGUGCUUUGGGCAUGACAAGGAACUAAGUUUCGUAUUUUCUUUUCAUACCCGUAUUUUACGAGACUGGCUAUAAUGCUUACUUGUAUAUGAUACAAUCAAAUAUUUGACAGUGAGAUAUAAGUCAUGUGAUAUUUAUAUAAUACAAUCAUCAUCUAACCGUCAAAAUAAUGAUUGUAUUGAGUACAUGUAAGUAUUGUAGUUAAAUUCCAACAUUCUUUGUUUAGUUAAUUCAAACUGUUUAAUCUGACCAUCGAGAUGACUUUCUCACCUCCACAAAUAAAUUGUAAUGAUUUUUUUUUUUUAUCUAAGAUAGAAAUUGUUGUUUGCUACACAUCUAUCAGAGGUGGGCGUACCCUACUAACCCGAGAGCUUGAGGCAUGCAUAAUGUGAACUUGGCAUGAGGUGGUGAUAUGAAUUAUUCUUCCACUUGACUUAAUUCUUCAUACAACCAAUCACUUUUAAUGCCUUCUUAGUUAUAAGACCACGCUACAAGACUCGGCGACAAAUUAGUUAAUAUUAUGUUCUUUAAAUAAUUAUUAUCUCAUGGGACAAAGAAUCAAUAGGGAAACAUCAUUUACAUGAUUAUGUCUUAAGAAAGCUAGGUAGGCAAGCAUUGGUCGAAUUAGAAUGUGGAUUAUUGAUGCAAAUUUCCGCCAUCUUCAGUCUUGACGAAAAUGCACCUGCAAAACAAUUAACAUCUUUAAUCAAGGACCUAAGCCUCACACACCCACGAGGUGGGGGGGGGGGGUUAGGCCAAUGGAUCUCUGAUGCCUAAGUUAGUUUCUCUAUGAGAAUAAAGUGUUUAGGGCCUUUUAAGGGUAGCAAAAGCUUCUGAAAUUUGGUAGAAUAUAGGGUAUUUAUAGGGAUAGAGCCAGCCAUAGUCUUAGGGUUUAUGGAGAAAUAUUAUCAAGAUAUUAAAUAGGAAAUAAUAUCUUGAGAUAAUUGAGUAAUUAUCCCUAAUUGAUUUAAAUUGAGAUUAUUUACUUGAUUGGAGUCAAUCUUCAAUUAGGAAUGUAUUAAAUAUAGAAUUUGGGUAAUUAAUCCUUAUCUUUAAUGCUUUGACUUUUCCUUGCCAAGGGCAGGUGAGCUGGGGGCAAUCGUAUUCAGUUGCUGGGACCUUCAGGGGUGUGAGCUGUGCAUGGGAGCAUCUAAGAAGUCUGCACAUUUGUUGAAGGCAAUCUUGUCUUUCUUGGGAAAAAGCCCAUGUGUCGCCUCUACAAUUAAUGAGAUUAUUUUAGGCUCCACAAAUGCCCCACACCUACUGGGCGGCACGUAGAAAAAUGGCAGUAGGUGUAGAAAUCCCAAGCUAUGUAGGCUUGUAUAGUUGUUUCCCAAUUUGAAUUUGAUAUUCUUUCUUGAUUUGGAGAUAAACUUCUUCUAGGAAAAGGAAACCAAUUGCCCCCAAUACCUAUUUAAUUCUGCCUUAAGCAGGGGAUUAAAUAAAUUUGGAGAACAAUCAUCAUUCCAACAAGGAAGAGAAGCCAAAGGAAAUUUUUCUUCCCCCUCCCCUAACUUUCUUCUUCUCUUGCCCUUGCAAGGAAUCGUCUCUUGUUGUAGUUCUUCUUUUCCGUGCCGCACCAAGGUAAGAAAAAUUUGAAUUUUCUUCUUCUUGAUUUCUUUGGAGUCUUGGGACUUGAAAAUUGGCUCGGUAAUGGUCGAUGAGGUGUUAAACAUACAACAAGGAUGCCAUAGGGCUGCUGGUGGUGCGGCAAGGGAGUCAGCUGGUGUGGGCCAGGGGUUUGGCUUAACUUGGGCCAAGAAGAGAGGUGAGUUGGGGCGUGGAGAGGCCAACUUGGGCUGAACCUUCAAAGUUGGUGAGGGAGAGAAAGAGACCGGUGCGGGCUGGGUCUUUUGCUGGCGUGUCAGGCUAUGUGGCCUUGGGCCCUUUGUGGUCCUGUGGUCUUUGGGCAAUACUGUGGAACGCUGGGCGCGAGAGAGAGGGAUAACAUGGUCUGGGCCGUAGAACCUGGCUUGCUGUUGGGUUCCUGUAGCUUGAGCCUGUGCGGAGAAAGAGUGUGAGGGCCAUGGGGCAUAGCCAGGGGCGUUGGGCUCGCAGUUCUUUUUAUUUUGUUUUAUUUAUAUAUUUUUUUUGCUUCUUUCGCGAGCUGUCUUCCUCCAAUCGCAAAAGUGAUGAAUAUCCUCCAAUUUUGUAUUGUCAAGGUGGUUUUUCUGGCAAGGUGGGCUAUUUCAAGGCUGCGCAUGUCAAGAUCAAUUUUGAGGAGUUGUUUCGGGAUUAUUUUCUUGAGCCUUACGAGCAUGCAAUUCCGUCAGGGGUUUGCGACAAGCGGGUGAAGGAUGAUAGCGGCCAUAAACCAUGCAGUGAGGGCACCACUACUAGGAAGAAGGCUAUCAAAUUCCAUUCGUAUUACUUCGUGUUGGGAUUCAAUUUUCCCAUGUCGCGUCUUUUCCAAGAGGUGAUAUGCUCCAUGAAAUGCACGCCUGCUCAGUGCUCCCCCAAUGCAAUUCGUGCGAUAGUGGGAUUCCUCAAUCUGAGCAAAUUCUUUAAUCUUGGCUUAGCCAUAAAUGAGUUCUGGUACUUUUUUGAAAUCGACCACAAGGAAGGUGUAGGGCAUCUGAGAUCUCACCAUAAGCCGCUCGAUGCUCCCUGCAAAGGUGAUUAUGAAUGGGCAAGAGACACCUUAGAGGUAAGUGGAGAUUAGAAGUUUGACUCCUCUCCUGAGCUGCGCGUUCCAACUGUCUUUAUUAGUGGUAAGUGAACUGCUUCAUUCUUGUCCUACUUGAAUUUUUGUUAAGCUGCUCCAUGACUUCAAUUUACUGAUCGUCAUUCUUACUUCCAGUAGAUUCAGAAUUUGGCUCAACUCCAAAAACUUUGGCCGAUAUGAAGAAAGUGCACAUCGCCUUGGGCAUUUCUGCUGAAUACCUUGAGUGGCGCUGAUUGCUCAGUCCUCUUCGUUGGGAGAAAGGCGGGCUGCCUCCGAAUGAAGAGAUAAAACGGAUAAAGGAUAAGGCGCUUGCUCAUCUAAUCGCUGUUGUAGAGCCUACUGCUAAUGAGGGUGGAAAGAAGAGAUCUUAUUCACCUGCCAGUAGGCUUUCGAUUGAGAAAAAGCCAAAGACUUCUUCUGCUGCUCGUGAAGGCUCGUUAGCUACUAAAAAGCUUGUGAUUGAUUUGACUUCUCCAAAGGGGACAAAAAAGUCCAUUCAGCCUGAGCCUGUGAAAUCUGCUGUUUCGAAGGUGGCCACGUCCACUGCUGAAAAGAUUGCCUAGCGAAAAGGUUCAGUGGUGCCCCCAAUGUCCGAGUUUGUGUCGAAUAGCCCUUCAGGAGCUAAGUCCCGUUCAGCUUAUGAGAGGCUCACUGCUAUGAAGAACAUGAAGGUGGAUUCUAUUACUAAGGUAGCACUGGGCAUGUUCCUCCUUCUGCUACGACUUACUCGUCUGCUGAGAAAGGGAAAUUUGCUCACAUGGGUAGUUGUGAGAGAUCCACCGAGUCUGAGGCUAGUGAGUUUCCCGAGGUUUAUGUGCUGCUGAAGGUUGACUUGCUUGAGGAUGUCAAUGUAUGCGCCAAGUUCAUUGACAGUGUCGUGAAAGUUGUCAUCCGAUCAAACUCUUUUGCGAAACAUCCUGCCUAUUUGAGGAGGUCCUUCCUGAUUGCCACAAUGCAUAAGACUUUGAUCCUAGCAGUUGAGUCUAUGCACAUUGAUCAAGAUGUUGUCAAGUGUGUUAUGGAAGCCGAAGUGGCAUUAAUGGCUUAGCUUCGCUCAGUUGCUAAAAAGAUUGAGAAGCUCAAAUCAGAACUAGUCAUUUUGAAAGGGUCUAAUGUCUCUACCCUCAUUUCUAUACAACUGGAGACCGCUCAUCAGGAGGUCGCGUAUUUAAAGGCUAAGCUUAGUGCGACUCAGUCAAUGAUGGAAGCUGCAGAGAAGGAAGUCAGUCGUGUUUCUCUAGUGGUCAAGGACCUUGAGCGUGUCAAUUCGGAGCUACAAUCUGCUUAUUUUGCCAAUGACGAGGAGUUUGUCUUCAUGCAUGCUACAGUGUCUCGUCUUAAGAAGCUUGUUUUCAUGCAUGCUGUCUGCUAGCGAAACCUAAGAAAUGAACUAGAUGAGCUACAGGGUGCUCACACUAGGCUUGUUGAGGAAAAUGUAUAGCUGAAGAAUGAGAAAGCUAAUCACAAAGUGGCGCUUGCUUCUUGUCAGGCUGAUUUCUACAAGCUUGGCUAUGUAGACCAUCUUCAGGGUAGGCCAUUAGAUUAUGAGUUUUCCAAGAAGGACUUCGAGACUUUCUCUAUUUCUCUAGUUGAUCUACUUGAUUUCUCGUUUGAGGCUGCCUUUGGUGAAGCAGCUGAAGGUCAGGCAGUCCAGGCAGAGGUAACUGAGGAUGAGCUGAUGGAAGCUUUAGCUGCAAAGAGCGAAGCAGUUAUUGAAGGUGUGGCAGUUGAGGGACUAGUGGUUACGCAAGCUACCGACGAGUAACCUUUUUGCUUAGACUUAGGAAUUUUCUUUUUUUUUCCUUUUCGUUUUGCUUUAUUUGAACUUUGUGGGCCUUCAAGCUAGUUUAUCAAUUUCUUAGAAAUUUAAUAAACAGAUUUCCUUGCUUUGCUUCAAUCUUUCUAUUUUGCCAUGUCUUUUGCGAAACUUUACAGUAGGAUGGGCGGCUGGGUAAGUUGCUUCAAUGAAGCAGUCAAUCCCACGUCAUCACUUAGGUUUUAGUUUCGGCUUUAGGGCUUCAGGAGCCUUGCUUGCUUGAGGCGACUUGCAAAACUUUACCGUAAGACAGGUGAUUAUGUUGGCUACUUCGAUAGAACAGUCGAUCCCACGUCGUCACGUUAGGCUUUAGUCUUGCUUUGGGGCUUCUAAAGAUUUACCUACAAGAGGAAAAAUGCGAGAUUUAUAACUUAUAAAGCCAGCGGCCUAACUCGUCACCUUCUCCAUGUAGUGCAGUAAUUGGUUAUGUGCCCGAGACCUCUGUAGAAUGCGCAGUACUUUGUCUGAUCCAUCUUGGAUGGGUAUUCUCUUAUAGACAGUGGCAGCUUGAACCACGACUUGUCCUUGAGGUCACGAAGGAUCGGGUUGAUCGGGAUUAAGAACUUGGUGUACAUUUUGGGCACCGUGCCUCCUUUCAUUAGGGAUCGAUCCUUGCGUCUGCUUCCUGGCUUGUUUUUAUUAUUGAGCGCUUUGUCACUAGCCUUCUUCUGAGUCAUCUCUGUGUCUUUGCGUAGCUACUCAGGCUACUUUUGGGAGGGUUUGGCCUCAUCCCAAAAGGAAUGCUUUUUCGCCAAAGCAUAAGAGUCUGCCAGGGUCAAGUUCUCGUCCAUGAUUACUUCUCUAAAAAGUGGGUGAUUUGUUAGAAGUCCAUUUCGGAAGGCUGAGCAUGCAAUGCUGUCAUCGCAUCCGACGAUCUUAGCAUUCUCCACCUUAAACCUCUUGACGUAAAUACGGAGUGGCUCAUUCGGGUCAUUCUUCAUGUUGAAGAGGUGAUCAAACUUCUUCUUGAUCAAGUGGUAGGACGAAUAUUUCAUAGUGAAAACCAAGGAAAGUUCACUGAAGUUCCUGAUUGAUCGUGACAGCAGGGUGUGGAACCAAUCUUGCGCUUCGCCUUAGAGCGUUGUGGUAAAAAUCUUGCACAUGAGAGCAUCGUUGUUGGUGUAGAGGGUCAUGUCGGUAGUGCAUCAGGUGCCUGUCCGGAUCUUCAUCUCCUUUGAACAAGGUGAAAUGUGAUAGGCUGAACUUCCGCAACGACUCCAUCUGCUUAUUCUCAUCUGUGAACGGUGACCUGCUCAAGUUGACCACAUCUCUACGAAGGGCAUCGUCAGAAGUGCCAAUACGCUGGAAUCCGCGCAGCUGCUCUGCUACGAGCCUUUGUAUUUCUUCCUGGAUUUGUGCUUAGUGAGGCAAUGAAACCUCUAACUGCCCCCGGUGUUGACCUGCUGGUCCAUGUUGUUCUUUGGCAUGUCUUGCUCGUCUGUGUCGCGGUCACGGUAAACUAUGAUACUUGCCGUAACACUGGGCGGGGGCUGCCAGUGGAACUUGAGCUUGAAUGCCCUCGUGCUCUCCUAUGUCCAUCAUGAGGCUGCCUACUCCGAAGCCUCGUAAAAGGAUUUCUUUGUGGGCCUAGCCUCAUGUGGACACUUCUCCUGGAAUGUCCUGAAUGCUCGUCGGAGUGUGGACCCAACCUUGAAUGCACACUGACUCGUGAACUGAGUCAAGAAUUAGCGUUUAUCUGCGUAUCUAGGCAGGAGAAGGCGCUUCCCUAAGGGCCUAAAAGAGAGUUCACACUACUUGAAUGUGAGAAUCUUUGUCAGGACGUCGCUAGACUGAGUCAUGUUCUUCCGCCCUUGUCCUACUUCUAGACACCUCAUUUGGGGCGUACUGCAUCUUGAUAUGCCUGAUAAGUUGGUUCAUUAAGGUGGUCUGCUGUAAGAGGGUGCUCGUCAAAUUAGCGACCUGUUGGGGCAGGUAGGGCUCGUCAUUUGGAUUAGAAAAGUCUGGAUAAUGGGUGUCUCCAUGUAUAGUGGAAGUGUAGUGGACUGCAGGUACAAAACUUGAGCCCAAAGCAAGCAUUCCUGCAGAAAAAUAAGGUGAAAAUAACCUUGAAUCGAUCACGUGAUCGGUGGUCAGAAUCUGGAUCACCGGAGGUAGCCUCGGGUUGGAUUGGGCCACAAGCUGGGUUGUCAAAGUGGGUCGCAGGGCGGGCCAACCCAGCUGGGUGGUGAGGUUCUGCGUGUGGUCAUGUUGGGCUCACGCAUAUGGCAACUGGUCUUGGGCCUGCACUGUGUGCUGGGCCGGUAUAUGAUCUUCGUAUUGGGUCUGGGCUACGCAUGCAAUAGGAAUGGCUUGGCGCUGUGUUUAGGUUAUGGCUACUUGGGUUGUUAGUUGGGUUCUAACUACUGCAUCUUGGGCCUUCUAAGCUCAGCCUGCUUCUCUAUGGACUUGGGCCUUCUGCCCAUGGGCUAAUAAAUAGACCUGGGCCCUCCCGCCCAGGGUUUUAGGAAUUGGGCCGCUGCAAAGGCAAUGUUGCAAGAGCUUGUGCCAUGGCCUGGUGGCUUUGUUGUGGCUACUGGGUCACGACGGUAAUGGUGAAGCAGCUCCGCAGCGGCGGGGCUCCUCCUGCCAUCGCGUUGAGCCUUGAUGAUCUAUGUCGUAGGGCUAUAUCCUCGUCUCCACUAUUCGAUCUGAAUCCUUGUACAUACGGGGUUCCGUUCGUUGUGGUUUCUAAAUUUCCUACCAUUGUAUCAUUUCUCCAAUGAUUGAUCAAGAAGCUUUUCUAAGAAAAAUUAAUUGAUACGACGUGUGAGAAAUUCAAUGUAACAGAAAAUUCAAGAAACCAAUGCAAAUUUCCGCCGUCUUCAGUCUUGACAAAAAUGUACCCGCAACACAAUUAACACCUUUAAUCAAGGACCUACGCCUCACACACCCACGAGGUGGGGGGGGGGUUAGGCCAAUGAAUCUUCGAUGCCUAAGUCAGUUUCUCUAUGAGAAUAAAGUGUUUAGGGCUUUUUUGGGGUAGCAAAAGUUUCUGAAAUUUGGUAGAAUAUGAGGUAUUUAUAGGGAUAGGGCCGGCCAUAGUGUUAGGGUUUAUGGAGAAAUUUUCUCAAGAUAUUAAAUAGGAAAUAAUAUCUUGAGAAUUGAGUAAUUAUCCCUAAUUGAUUUAAAUAGGGAUUACUUACUUGAUUUGAGUCAAUCUUCAAUUAGGAAUGUAUUAAAGAUAGGAUUUGGGUAACUAAUCCUUAUCUUUAAUGCUUUGACUUUUCUUUGCUAAGGGCAGGUGAGUUGUGGGCAGUUGUAUUCAGCUGCAGGGACCUUCAAAGGUGUGAGCUGCGCGUUAGAGCAUCUGAGAAACCUGCCCAUUUAUUGAAGGCAAUCUUGUCUUUCUUUAGUUUGAUUUGGAUAUUUGUGGCUUGGUUCCAACCUCUUUACCACCUCUCAAAAUGAUGGCUUUUGCAGAUUCAAAUCCACCUUUUGGGUUGACAACGGUUGAACUAGGCUAUUUGCCUUGCUCUUUGAAUUGGCCCAUGAAUUACGCCAUUUGCCCCAUUUGCUUCUUCAAUUCAUCUACCUCUUUGGCUUGAUUUUGCAUUCCCUGCACCACAUUGGUUAAUAAUUGAACAAUUUGAUCGUUAUCCAUGAACGAACCUGAUUUUGGUUGGGCAAAUUGUGGUUGGGGUUGUGUUGGUACGUAUAGCCUUGGAAACAUCCCAGGGGGUGGUGGUCGAAAUCCUCCUUGUUGUGGAAGUUGUUGAGGCUCCCUCUAUUUCAUGUUUGGAUGAUCUUUCCAGCCCGGAUUGUAAGUAUUAGCAUAUGGAUCAUAUUUGGGCUGGUUUUGGCCUUGAAACCCAAUGGCUUUGGCACUUUCCCAUCCUCAAUUCUCAAUCAAUUAAGGGCAUUUUUCAGAUUGGUGUCAUUGUAUAGAGCACAUGCCAUAAAUUGUGUUUUCUUGCACUUUGGGUCUUUCAACAACCUGUGACAUAAGAAGAGUGAGAUUAGCCAAUUGAGAUUGAAUUUCAGAAAUUACACUUACCUCAUUCACAUGUUGCGGCCGUGGGGGUUCUUUCUGUCCAACUCCUUCGUAUUGUUAUGCAUUCAAGGCUUGGUUGGCAAUUUGGGUCUUGGCAGGUGUUUGUCAACCAAAGCUCAUCCCGCUGAGGCAUCUAGCAUUUGUCUUUCAAUGGGAAGAAGUCAUUCGUAGAAAUAUUGAAGGAGAAGCUUUUCUUUCAUUUGAUGUUGAGGACAUGAUGCAACGAGAGUCUUGAAACGCUCAUAAUACGCUGGAAAGAAUUCUCCUUGAUUUUGUUAAAUGCCACUAAUUCUCUUCCUCAAAGAAUGACUCUUGACGUUGGAAAGAACUUCUCUAAGAAUGCUCUCUUCAUGCUUUCCCAAGAAGUGACUGUUCCAGAUGCCAAUUCAUACAACCAAUCCUUAGCCUUUUCCAAAAGAGAGAAUGGAAAAGCAAGUAAAUUAAAGACUUAAAUAAGUUUGCACAAAAUUGGGGGAAAAUAUGGGUGAAUGGCUAGCUACAAGGUCCUUCUCCACACAUGACACGCUUGCAUACAAAACGAUUUCCAAUUGCUUUUCCAUUAAACCAUGAACCUCAACACCCCAGAUUAACCGUGAACAGCACUAAUUAACCCUCAGAUUUUCCUUAAGUCAUUGAAUUGCAUGGAUAACACAUCGGCAACCAAAUUAUUCUUCAAUAGUUCCCUACAUGAACAGCAUAAUAGAGAUACAAUAAAAAAUCAUUAAGCUUUGUGAAAAUCAUUAAGCUUUGUGAAAAUCAUAAGCAUUGACAAGGCAUUCGUAACUAUAAACAGCAUGAUACUCCUGCCAGGAAUCUACUUGACACGAUUGUGACUAGCAACCUCGACUACUUAUGAAUAUAAGUUCAUAACAUUUAGGUGAAAUGAUAAGCUCAUAUUUAUAUAUAUUUUACAUCAAACUCACUUGUCUUUUCUUAGUUAGCUCCGUAUAUUUUUGAGCUAUUUACUUUGUUUUUGUGUUUUCUAGGAUUUGUCAAUCAAAGAAAAGAAAAAUAGCACAAGUGGGAUUUUAAGUAACAAAUUUGUCAAAACUGCCUGUGCAGGUCAACUGACUUUGGAAGCAAGUUGUGAACAGCUCAAAAUGAAUUACAGAAUGAGCUUUAUAUGCUUGGAAAGCUACGGAUGUCUAUUUUCUGGAGCAUUUCGUGGAUUGUUAAUAUCAUUUUUGUAGAAGAAAUGAUCGUUUUAACACUGAAAGGUUCAGAAGAGACUGAGCAGUUUGUAACUGCAAUGAAAGCAAUAAACCCAAUAAAUCUAGCAGCCAAAACUGAUGCAGCCAAGAACAAGCCAGUUGAUACCUAUUCAAAUAUCAGAGGAAAUGGAAAUAAAGAUGAGGAUUAAGUGGGAGAAAUUGGCAUAAAGGAUACCCAAAGAGUUACAAUUGUUUUACCAUUUCCUCUCACUUAUUGCCAUCACUAAAUGGCUGUUAGUGGGUGAGUUAAGGAGAAGAAAAUGGGGCAGCAAGUUAAAAAGGGGAAAGGCUGCAGGUUGCAGGUUGAAAAAAAAAAGAGAGGAAAAAAAACAUAAAAGAAAGAGGACAAGGCAGCUUUGCGGAAAGGAAGGAAAGGAAGAAGGAAAUCUUGGCAUUCUCUCCUCUCGGUUUUAUCUUCUCAAACUUAUGUCUUUCUUUUGGUUUUAUUUGAUAAUAAUGUGUAACUAAAUUUUUAGUAGUUAGGGGCUGUUUUGAAGCCCCGAAUAUGACUGCAAGUUUGUUAUGACAUUUUGUUUGAAUUACUUUUAUGAAUGGAUGAAAAUUGAUUCACUACUUGUCUCAUUGAUGAAUUCUUUAUGUGUUUUCUACGGAUGCAUACUUAGUAAGCAUAUCUAGGAUUCUAACGCUAUGAAUAUAUGUGUGCCUGCUCUUGUCGAAUGAGGACCUACAUAUGUUCUAAAGUAGUACUUGUUAAUUGCGAUUAACAUGUGAACCAAUUUCUAGGAUAAGUAAGACAACACCAGUACUUACGAUGCCUAGUGAUGACUCAAACUCUUUUCGUUCUUAAUGAUUUCUACUUGUUAAAUCUAUGAACAUGCCAUUCUAGAUUGCAUGCUAGGGACUAAGUUAAGUUGAAAACGCCAUUCUCUUAACGUACUACAUAAGAAAGAGUAAUAGGUUGAUUUAUAACAUUGAGCCAACUUGAGCAUCUUCAUCCUGAAAUAAAAGGAAUUUGAAUGAAACAUAACAUGUUUGCAUGAUUAUUUGGUGGUGGAUAGCAAUUCCCCUAACUCGUUUUUCUUAAUUUGUGAACUACUUAAACUUUGUUUCUGUCCUGUUUUCGUUUGAUUUAAUUUAAAUAGCAAAUCAACUCCACAAAUCCUAAAAAUUUGUGUGAGUGUAGCUCUGUGUGUCUAGUGUGUUUAUAUAAAAUUUCAUAGACUUUAGAUAAGUGUAAGUCAGUCUAAUAAUUAUUUUUCGGUGGCUGGUUAGUAGGGACAGCAACCAGUUUUUGUGACAUUUUAAGUAGUUAGAUAAAACAAUCUUCUGCGGGAAAGACCCUUAUUUUCAUAUGCUACAAUUGACAAAUCUUAGUGUUAUUAAGGAAAAUCAAUAGGACAUUUGUGUGCUACUUUGUGGUGUGCUUUUAAUUCUAUCAUGAAACUCCCUUAUAUGCUAGCUUCAAAUUCAUGCAUGCAAACUAAAUAUGCAUCCUUAAUCCACAAACAAGAACAAGUUCUGAAUCAAACAAUUAAGUAAAUUGCAUUCACGAUUUAUAGAAUCACAACUGGAAGUAAUCAAUUCAUAUUGCAAAUAUAUUCAUGGCUUUGAAUUUCCCCCUAGCGAAAACGAGUUUAGCUCCUCAUGUUCGCAAAACAAAGAUAAUUAAACUUAAACAUUGAAAACAAAAGAUGGAUUACAUCUAAGAAUGUUCCAGCAAUCCAACUUGAAUGGCAAGCACAUCCAAGGGUCCUCCUUCUUCUUUGUUGCAGCACAAGGUGUGGGUGAAGGUUUGAGUGAUGAAUUGUAUGAAGGAAUGGUUGAAAGUAUGAAUGGUAGUGAAUGGAUGAUUGAAUGGUGCGGCUAAGGCAUUUAUUUAUAGGGGAAGGAAAGGACACGGCUGGGAAUUAAUUUGGGAAGAGUUUAAGACUCCAAAUCCUCCAAGAAAAGGGUAACAAAUCAGAAUCCCAAGAGGAAAAGGGUAAGUGAGGUGCGGCAAGGAAAAAAGGAAAGGGGAAUCCCUUGCCGUGCAAGGGAAAGGGUUUCUAGAGGGCAUUGGUGCGGCAUCCCUUUGCGGCUGGGAUUAGGUCUUCUAGAACCUAACAUUAAGUGUCCAAAUAUAUUUGGGAACCCUCCUUUCAGCUGUAAGUUAGUUGGAUUAGGAUUAGGAAAGUGCUGGAACAAAAUAAGGUAACUUAACUAAUGUUUCCUCUUUUCUUGUUGAUCUCCUUAUCUUCUUUAAAUUAAUUCUUCUUUCUCUUUAACACAUUCCUAGCCUUUUCAGUCUUCAAUUUCAUUCAUCCACCUUGCUCCAAACAUGUGAUAUCCAUUCCAAGCCCAAAAAUGCUCUAAAAGGCACCAAAAUGCACUUUCUUACUACUUUAGUCAUUUGGAUCUACAAACACACGAAAAUAACUUAAAAUACUAAAAUAACUAGGAACUAAUAACAUAAAUGCAAGAAAAAGCUAACUAAGUCAUAUAAAUAUGCUCCUAUAUAUAUAUAUAUAUAGAUUAAAAAAGAGUGUAGGAAAUGGAGGGGUUCGAGAGUAGGGGUACUGGGAAGUAUUCAUGAGGCUACCUCUUUUAUGCUUCAAGAUCUCAAUUAAUUGUUGUUUUUUCAUGGUUAAGAGCAAUGGGGAAUUUUUUUGUCAUUAAGGGUAUAUUAGUACUUUUACAUUAAGUUUUGGUUAGAAUUAUCAUAAAACUAAAAUAAUGGCUAUAAUUCUUUAUGGGAUCUAAAAUAUGUUUUUCCAAAUUUCCCCACACACACACACACACACACACACACACACACAUUUAUAUAUAUUAUUUCAUCGUCAGGCUCACUAAUUUUUGGGGUUAGUAUUUUUAAUCUUGCUUAUGGGGUUAUGCUGCGUUUGGCUACUGUGGAAUUGUACCUACUCAAUUGAAGUAAAGUUUGAUAUUUAUUUACUUGAUGACUUCUAGGAAUAGUGAAGAUCUAAAAGAUAAAUGGAGAAUUAAAUCUAAUAUUCAUUUCGAUUAACUAGUUAAUUAAAUAGAUUAAUGUCUAGUGAGUUUGUAAUUUGUUUCUACAAUUAGGUCAAGCAAAUGCAGUUCUGUUUCAGAAACAGCAGCUGUUACAGUAAAUAAAUCUAAUAUUCAUUUCGAUUAACUAGUUAAUUAAAUAGAUUAAUGUCUAGUGAGUUUGUAAUUUGUUUCUACAAUUAGGUCAAGCAAAUGCAGUUCUGUUUCAGAAACAGCAGCUGUUACAGUAAAUAAAUCUAAUAUUCAUUUCGAUUAACUAAUUAAUUAAAUAGAUUAAUGUCUAGUGAGUUUGUAAUUUGUUUCUACAAUUAGGUCAAGCAAAUGCAGUUCUGUUUCAGAAACAGCAUCUGUUACAGUAAAUAGCUCAAUUGUUUCUGGUGGAUUGGUGCUCCUUUUCAUUUCUUUUUUUGGUUUAGGGCAAUGUCGUAGAUAGACACCUACAUUGUAGUGGACCUAGAUAUACAACAGGAAGAUGAGUUAAUUUUGUUUCUCUAAAAAUUCAGCGUCGUUAUUACUCAAAUAUAAACUGUUAGUUGCAGAUUUUUGUAGCAUUAUUGCAACUUCAUAUCCUUAGUUUAUGUAAUUUGUCUACUUGGGUUGACAUAGAAAGACCAAAAAAUUAAACACAAUUACCUAUCAGAUACGCCGUGGAACAGUAUCCCUACUUUCAUAUUCAGCUUCUCUUACCUUAGAAUAUUUGAAACCUUGCAGAGUGUCACCUCAACCUUUUUUCUUCCCUCAACUCCAUAUGGAAAAACUUGAAUGAACAAAAACUCCCUAGCUAGGAAUCGGUACAAGAAUUAUUGAAACAUAAUUAAUUGGACAAUACAUAAGAAAAUUUUAGUUGUCAGUUAUAAAAGAAGGGUUACAAAAUAAUAGCAGCAAGUUCUCAUCUAAAAAAUGUAGCUCGGAUUGAGUAAAACAUUAACAUGUGAGAAAGCAACUUCUGGUUAGAAAGCUUUCCAUGUAGGACUAUCCAAGCCAUCUUCAAGCCCCAACUGGUAUGGAUCUCCAAAGGGCAAUGCAAGAAUCAUAUGUCUGUAAAAAUAUUUUUCAAAACACUUCUAAUUAGGCUACAAUCUUUGUUAAAAUUUGUUUUAGCACUCGUCCUUCUUGAUUUUAUUGUUUUUGUGCUUAAACUAGCAAUGGUAUAUACUAUAUAUAACAGAAUUUAAAUGAAUAUGAAUAAAUACUCGGAUUGUAAAAUAGUGUAUAAUAGUAGUGCUCUUUAUUAAUUAACUCACCGGGGUUAGUUGCUAGGAAUCGUAUGGCAACCCAUUCACCAGACAGCACACCCACGGUAUUUCUUUCAACGGCGUUGAUCAAAUUAAAGUUUGCAGAGUCCUUAUUCCGGUCAAAGUUCCCGAACCGUUACCCAACAACAAAGAAAUUAAAUCCAUGCAGAUGAAAGGGGUCGCUUUCGGCGCCCAGAAUGCUUGUGUCUUGCAUGACCAACUCCGCCCUAUUGUUCUAUGGAAGUACCAUUAGUUUUGUACUACCAUAGUAUCAUUAGUUAGGAUGCCUGUAUAGUCAAAUGGAAUUAUAGGACUGCUUGGAAAGUCAGGGCUCUCGUUAAGUGGAAUUACAGGACUGCUUGGAAAGUCAGGGCUCUAAACCCCAUUCGAUUGCCUGGAGAAGUUCGCUUGAAGUAGAGCAGUCGUUGUGUUGAAGGAAUGAAGUGUGUCCCGAUGGGUUUAGGGUGUAUCUCUAGGGUAAGCUUUUUUUUUUGGUCAACGAUCUCUAGGGUAAGCUUAAGGCUAUAUUGUUGUGAAUCAGUUUUUCCUUAAUUUAAGGGAAGUGACUGAUUAGUGUAAAGUAGAUAAAGCUUUUCCUUGAUCUAAGGAAGGUGACUGAUUGGGUUAAGUAGGUUAGCUCUAGUUGGCUGUGAUAGACAGCCUUCUUUUAUUCCUCCUAGUCAGCUGCUUGCAGUAGCUAACUAUCCGGACCUCUUCUUCUUCUCCUCUCUCAUAUAUAACUUGUCACUUGUACAUUUGAAUAUAUGAAAAUACAUUGAAACUUAAAGCUAGAAAAUCUACACGUUGGCAUUGCAAAAGAAACGUUAUUAACUGAAGCUGCAAACAUUGUUCCAUUAGAUCCCCGAAAGGUUUGGUUAUUGUUGCUGCAGGGGUUCGUUCCAAGGCCUAUUGUGAAGAAAAAGUGUUUGUUAACCUUAUGGGGGACAUUAGCAGGAAAUUGUGCAUUGGCUAAUUAUUUGUAUCAUAUUUACGGAUUGAAAACAUCUUUUAUGUGAAAUUGAAUGACACACAUAUCCCAGUAAUCAACCUUGGAUGCUAAUUUUAGAUUUUAAUGCCAUUACUAGUUUAAAUGAAAAAGUAAGGGAUCAACGAGUAGUCACAAACUACAUGUUAAUUUGUGGACUUCCAGAAUCGAGGAGCCUUUCAAGUCUUAAUGCUUCUUGAGUUCCUUUUACGUGGACUAAUAGUCAUAAAGAUAAUAUUGUUAUCUUUGAAAAGCUUGAUAGAGUUAUGGCCAACUCUUAGUGGUUGUAUACAUUCCCCAAGUAUAGGGUUCAUAAGGCCAUCUCCAACCGAGGGUUGGCCAGAGGGCUCGUUUUAGCCCUCUGGUCCUCCAAGAUAUUAAUAUUUUAAUGAACAGUACAAGGCCAUAUUUGCCUCCAUCUCCAAUCGAGAGCCAAAGGGCCAUAUGACUCAUUUUAGCCCUGUCACAAAAAAUCGUCUCCAACCAAAGGACAUAGGGCCAAACAUAAUUUAUUAUUUAAAAACUACAAGUUAAAUUCAAAUUUAACAGCUAAGUGACAUUAGCAUGAUGUCAGCUAGCAGUUGGUAGCUGACUUCAUGCUGACAUUAGCUAGCCGUUGGAUUUGAAUUUAUUUUUGCUAUAAAUAGGGUGGAUAUUGGGCUAUAAUUCACACAACUUUGAAUUCAAUCUAUUUCAAUUCAAUCUCUUUCAAUUCAAUCUUUUUCAAUUCAAGUUUGCCUUUUAAUCCAAGAACUAGUAGUAUCUCUAUAAAUGAGUACAUGAGGCACUAUAGAAUGAUACGUUCUCGUGCUACAAACAAGUACCUACAACAGGAUCUUGUUGCACAUCUUUGGGCCAAAAGAAGCAUGGAGUAGGCGUUUAAGUUUUAUGUUUUUAAAAAUAUUGUAAGUUUCAUGCUGUUAAAUGUUUUUUUUUAUGUUGUAUAAUUUGUAUGUUGGUUAAUGUUAUUUAAUGUUGUUUCAUAUUGUUUAAUGUUGUUUCAUGUUACUUAAUUUAAUUUAAUGUUGUAUAAUGGCUUAGGACAUUAUAGGAAAAAAAAAUAUAAUUUAAAAAAAAUAUGAAACAAAUUUUGUGAAAUAACAGUUAUAGGAAAAAAAAAUAGAAGUUAAAAUAAAAUGAAACAAAUUUUGUGAAAUAGAAGUUACAGGAAAAAAUGGAAUUAAAAAAAAUAUAUGAAACAAAUUUUGUAAAAUAAAAGUUAUAGAAAAAAAAUAGAAUUUAAAAAAAUAUUAAAAAUAGAAGUUAUAGGAAAAAUUUUGUAAAUAAAAAAUAAUAAUAAAACUGUAAAAAAAAAAAAUCAAAUGCACAGCUAGCUGACGUCAGCUAGCCGUUGCAUUUGAAUUUUAGCUUUAGCAUUGGCCAGCCUCGAGCUGGCUAGCUACAUGCAGCCAGCCCUCCAGCCCUUUCAGAUUCCAUGGGGCCCUCUCAGAUUCCACGAGCCCUCUGGCCUAGCCUCGGUUGGAGACGGUUUUUUGGUUAUUUUCGGCAAUUUGGCCCUCUGGUCCCUUUAGUUGGAGAUGGCCUAACUUUCCUAUUUUUGGCUCUAACCAUAGCCCCGUUAAACUAACUUUUUUGGACAAGACUGCUAACUUCUAAACAAAUUUCAAAUUUGAAGCUAUUUGGCUUAAUGAUCCUGAUUGUACUAAUUUGGUUAAAGAAAGUUGGUUGGCCAAUUUCCAGGGUCAUCUAAACGAUAUGUUCAGAGCUUGUGAUAAUUCCUUUAAAUUCAAAGCGAAAGCAUGGAGUAAAAAUAUCUUCGGUAAUGUGACAAAGAAGAUAAAAGAGCUCCUAAGUGAACUGGCAACUGUUCAGGACUGUAUGAAGAAUCCUAAUAGGAAUGAUUGGUUGGAGAAGGAAAGGAAAUUAAAUGAUUCCCUUGUUGCUUUGUACAUGGAUGACGAAAUUCUCUGGGCUCAAAGACUUAAGGCUAACUGGUUGCAGCUUGGGGAUAGAAAUACCAGGUACUUCCAUACCUAAAUCACUAUAAGGAAAAGAAGAAAUGAAAUCAUAAAAAUUAAAGAUGAUCAUGGUAACUGGUGGGAAAAAAAGGUAAACGUAUGGAGGAUCUAUUUAUUCAAAAGUUUAAACAAAGGCUCACCAGCACCAUUCAAAGUCACAGAGAUAAUAAGGUGGAUGAAUCCAUAAGUGUUCUAAAUCCUGUAUCUCAGUAGAACAACAAUUUGCUCAUAAGGCCUGUAACUGAGGCUAAAAAUUUUUAGGCUGUGAAAGCUAUUGGGAGCUUAAAAGCUCCUAGUCCUGAUGGUCUCCACGCUAUCUUCUAUCAUGAAUGUUAGGGUCAUGUUAAGGGCUAGUAAACCUAUCCUUAAAAAUGGAAUGAGAUGGAUUGUUGGAAAUGGUAAAAACAUAAUGUUUUGGUCCCAUAACUAAAUUUUUCCUUUCCCAUUGUCCACUCCUAUUCAAGAUCAAUUAAUAAACUCUUUAAAUUAAAAUAUGAAAGUUAGUGAUGUCAUGGUAGAGAAAAUAUAGAACAAUGAGUUAAUCCUUCCAGUGCUGCCUAACGAUGUAGCAAAUAAAAUUUUUGCCAUCUCUAGCCCUUUAAAUGAUAUGGAGGAUGAGUUUAUCUGGGACCAUCUUUUAAUGGAAAUUUAUCAAUUAAAUUAACUACUUGGAUUCAAAUUGAUGAUGCUCACAGUAAACUUUUCAACGAUUUAUUCAAGAAAGUGUGAAAACUUAGUAUUCCACAUAAAGUUAAAUUUUUUGCUUGGUUGCUUAUAAGAAAUAGAUUGUCUACUUACAAGAGAUUAGAUAAGUAUCAUCAUAAUGGCCAAACUCUUUGCCCUUUAUGCAAUAUUGUAGAGAAUGAUCAACUACACUGUUUUGUUUACUAUAAUCAUGCUUAAGAAGUUUGGAAGCUUUGUAAUAACAUGCGUCCACCGCCACCACCCCCCCCCCCUUCCCCUCCCAUUACCAAUAUGAAUGAUUGGUUAGUGGGGAUGUUAGCUUUAGAUAAAAUGAUCUUUCUGACCUUAGAAAAAUCUCAAUUCUUUGUUGGCAAAUGUGAAAUGAUAGAAAUAAUUUUGUUUUUAAACAGAUUAAACCUUAUCCAACUUUCUGUCUGAUGACAACGACUAUAAUUGGAAAAGAUUUCCUAAAGGCUAAUUUGAAACAGAAACCAAGCAAGACUAAGCAACACCAUUAGAUGGAAAAUGCCUACAGAAGGCUUUUAUAAGCUCAAUUUUGAUGGGUCAGUGGAGGACACUUUUGCUGCUAUGGGUUUUAAAAUAAAAAAUCAUUAGGGGUGUGCUCGCUCGACAUCUUGGACCAAUCACUAUCACCAUGGAAGAAGCUUAGGCUCUCCGGGAUGCUCUGGCUUUGGCCAAAUAACGUCAAAUCAGGAAAAUUGUGGUCGAAAAGGGACUCAAAGGUUGUCUUUGAUGCAGUUUUUGGAAAGUGUACAGUACCAUGGAGAAUUAAGUCCAUCGUUUAGGACAUUAAAUGGCUUACCUCAUCGUUUGAGCUAGUAGAAUGGAACCAUUUCUACAACGAAGCAAACUUCAUGGUGGAUGCUAUCACUUCCCUUGAGCAUAAUUGUACUAAUUUAUAUAUGUGGGAUGGGUGUGUUCCUCACCAAGCCAGAAAAAAAAAGCUCUCUUGUAUUAUUCUCGAGGCCUUGGGUGUCAUUGAAGUUUCUAUUUAAUUUAAUCUUCUUUCUUCCUAAAAUAAAUUAACACAAAUACAUGUGUGAAUGACUAUAUACAAUUGAUAUAAUAUGGUCAUGUGCAUGGUCUAAAAUAUCCAUAAUAUCCCGAUAUUUCCAUCGAAAUUUCCGUGUUUUUGGACUACAGAUAUUUUUUUGGACUACCGAUAUUUCCGAUAUCAUCGAUAUUUAGACCUUGCUAAGUCACUCAUGUAUCUUACCAUGCAAUGUAUAAAGUGUAAAAUAUUGUACUAAUUCAUUAUAUAUAAAUGAUUAUGGUGUGUUUAAACUUCUUUCAUUAAUUACUACAUAUUUUCUACACUCACAAUGUUUGCCAGCUCGCUAUCUAAUCAACUUAAAUCAGUUAUACCUAUCAUGCAAUGCAUUUCCUUCCAAUUUUUUGUGUUAAACUAAUAGAUAAUUGACUAAAUAAACAUCGUGCAAAGUUUCAAUAAAAAUUUCCAAUUUUUUCUUAUAAUUUCCGUAGUUUUUAUUCAAUUUUUAUCGAUAUCGAUAAUAUCUCGAUAUUUCCAUCGAAAUUUCCGUGUUUUUGGACUACCGAUAUUUCCGAUAUCAUCGAUAUUUAAUACCUUGGUCAUGUGUGGGAAAAAUUAGGAAUUCUCAAAGGAAUGAGCUAAAUAUAAAAUAACAAAAGGAAAGGAAAAAUAAUGCAGAUCAACGGCCACCAAUUUAAUAACGGAAGCACAACACAAAAUUUAAAGACCAUCAGAAAAGAGGUAAUCGGCUUAGUUGUACUUGAAAAUGAUUGUUAUUAUGUUGCUUUGGGCUUUUGGAUGAUGGGUUAUGGUAAAGCCUCGUUUGGGCCAAAAGUCUUAUCUUGGACUAUAAUAGCCUAUUUCACUUCAGUUGUUAAUUACUUGCGCCCAAAUCUACUUGGACCAUAACAUGUGUCUUAAUUGUUACUUAGUACUACAGUAUAGUGAUAUUCUUCUUUACUUGUAAGUGACAGGUCUUAGAUUCGAUUCUCGCUAAAUGCAAAUUUGAACCACAUUAUUGCUAACUCAUUGUGAGGCUUAGCCCACUCCCUCACCCCGUUAGUGUAGAUAAUAUCGUUUGUUCCAAAAAAAACAUAUGUCUUUAUUUUAUCUUAAAGUUUUUCUAGAGUUGAGGAAUUGGUUGCAACUUUUGUUUCUUAAAUUUUGUGUUCUAAACUCUCUUUUAUUUGUCAUACAUAUAUACAAUAAUGUCGCUUUGAAUAUAUUAAGUCAUUCCGGAACCUCUUCUAACUAACGAACACAUACCUCCUUUCACUCUCCCUAUUAUCAACUUAUCACUAGGCAAAAAGAGGCGUCACAUUUGGUUUAUGACUAAUUGUUAAAUUGAGCAAUGAGCAUUGAAAAUAGCUUAUUUUCAACAGGUAAAAAAGACUAACCGUUAUGCCUCAUGUAAAUACAAGACCAGGACCGACUGUGAGAUUUUGGAGGCAUGAGGUAGGCCAAUGAAAGGGGGCCCUUGUGUUCUUAGGCAAUCUUACGUUUUUUUUUCCUUUUAUUUUUUAUUUUUUAUCAAUUAGGCAAUCUUACGUUGUACGUUGAUGUACGUUGCUUUUUGGGUUAAAAAUCACUAAUUUAUUAUUAUAGAAUGCCUUAGAUGAUACAAGACUUAAAAAAUCACAAUAAUAAAUUAUUGAAAAACACAUUAAUUUCAUAGUUUCUAUUUGAUUACCUUAAAUCGCAAUCUUGUAGAUCUUGUGAGAUUUGAUUUCCACCAAUAGAAUAGAGAGAUUGAAAUUUGAAAGAAAAGAGAGAAUUGCAAGAGACUUUGGGUGCGUUUGUUUGGGCUCGUUAACUCUUACUGGACUCGCGUGGAUUAUUUCCACCGCUAGAAGUCUUAGCGAGACCCAGAAACCCAUGAGACUGCUAAGACAUUCGUUGCAUUUUCAUCUUCUCGCCUUCCUCUCUGCAUCGCAUCCUCCCUCUCCUCUCUUUGCUCGCGUCGCCAACAUCGUAUCGUCUGGUAGUUUUGAUUCUCCCGUCGCGUCCUCUAUGCACUUUGGUCUCGACGUCGUCCGAUUCACUCCGAGCUUGCAUGCACCCUCGCUGGUAGACAAAGCCCAAAUUUCCUGGAAUUACAAAAUCCAUUCAAAUCGCAAAACCCACACUUAAAAUGCAAAUCCCAAAAUUGAAUUGCAAAAUCAAGUUCGUCUGAAGCUCACCAUCUGCACAUCUUUUUCAAUCGUGAAACACAGAUUUAUGCGGAACAACUUUUCAAGAUAAUAAUAAUAAUAAUAAUAAUAAUAAUAAUAAUAAUAAUAAUAAUAAUAAUAAUAAUAAUAAUAAUAAUAAUAAAAAGAGAGAAACAGGGAGAGCUUUUUUGAGAGAAAGUGUUCUUGAAAAAGGGGAGAAAUGAAAAGAAACCAGAAAAGAGGGAGAGCAUUCAGAGAUGGUUCUGGAAAAAGGGAAGAAAGGAAAAUGAACCAAAAAAGAGGAAUAGGGGUGGGCGCGGUGCGAUGGGCUGCGGUGCGGUGCGGUGUGGUUUUGAAGUUAAAAUCGAAAUGAAAUCAAACUGUUUGGUUCGGUUCGGUGUAGUUUUAAAAGGUUUCGGUUUGAUUUUUGAGAAAAAAAUGUACAAUUUAAAAUAUACAUCUAUUUAUACAUAAGAUGGUCUUAUUUUCCUCAUAUAUUAAUUAAUGAAUAUGCAGCAACAACAAUGCAGCAAAAAACAGUGGCAAAACUGCAAAAAAAGUGCAGCAAAAAGCAGCAGCAAAACUGCAAAAAACAGAAAAACAGCAACAAAAAACUGCACCAAAACUGGAGCAAAAAACUCAGUAAAACUGCAACAAAAACUGCAGCAAAACUGCACCAAAUUUGCACCAAAACUGCACCAAAAAACUGCACCAGGUUGCACUGUCGCAAACUUACAGAGAUGCAAGCAGAAGUAACCAGGUCGCAUAAUUAAAGAUGAGUUUCAAGAAGACGAGUUAAGGAAAAGAUGAGUUUUAAGAAGAUGAGUUAAGGAGAUGAAGAUGUGUUUCAGCCUUCAGGAGUCGAAGUGCAAAACUAAAUGAUAAUGAUAGUCUAGUAACCUAGUUGAACUAAUUAAAAGUUUAAAAUAUAACAUUUAUUUAUUAAUUUUAUUAUAUGGUGCGGUUUCGGUUUCGGUGCGGUUUUGAAAACCCAAAACCGAAACCAAACCGUUUUCUUUGCCGCGGUUUGGUUUCGAAACCAAAACCGUUUCAAAACCACAAAACCAACCGUUCGGUGAGGUUCAAUUCGAUUCGUGUUUCGGUUUCGGUUUUCGGUUCCAAGUGCCCACCCCUAAAGAGGAAGAGCUUUCGUGAAAAGAAAAGAAUGUUCUAAAAAUAAAAAAUAAAGAAAAGAAAAAAAGAAAAGGUUAUUUUGCUUGUUAAUUCGGCACUGCACCAAAUGCUUCACUAAGUUAAUUUAGGUUAUUUAGUCUAAGCCAGUUUAACUUGGUCCCUAAACUUAGAGCUGGUUUGGUAUUGCUAUACUUUGAAAAAAAAACUGCUUCUGUUGUGCUAUGAGAAUAAGCUCAUUUUUGCUGCUUCACGUUUUCAGUUUUUUUUUUAUUAACAGAAGACACCUCAACAUGUUAGUUAGACACCUUAGCAUUUGAUUAGCUCAGUGGUUAAGUUUUAUCUAAAUAUAACAACUGUGAUUUUAAAGACUAUAUAUAUUUGGAUAAUCACUUGUAUUUUGUAAGUAUUCAUGUCAGUAAAUACAACUUGCUCUCCAAGAUCUUUUCUCUCUCUAACAUUUCAUUCUCUUUCUUGUUCUUCACACUUUGUUUCCAUUGUUGAAUCUUUGAGUUCUUGAGAUCAUGAUUUCUCUCUAGUUAUCAUGGUAUCCAGAGCUUAGGUUUCAAUAAAUCUAAGAGGAGGAUCCUGGUUGGUUCAUCUGGCGCUGCGAUAGCUGUUUGGCGGUGGAUUUGGUGGUUGUUUGGCUGGAAUUUCAAUUGUUGUUGGCAAUCGAUUUCUUUGUGUUUUCGUCACAUCAGGUUUCGAUUUCUUUACUGGUUAAUGCUACCUGUGUUCGAUAUUUGUGAAAUUUUUUGAAUUAUCUGUUUGUGUUGUUGAAUGCGAUGAUUCUGUGUUGGUAAUUUUCUAAGGCACAAAGCCUCUAAGUAAUUGUUUGGGAAUUUUUCAUUCAUCUGAUCAAUUCAAAUUCGAGCACGAAACUCCUUGUUAUCUGCAAUUUGUAUGUGAUUUGUCUCCCUGCAGUGAUUUUGUUGAAGACUGGACAUUUGAGUUUGUGAUGAGUUUUGUGGAUUGUUCUUUGUUUUCUUUUGGCAUGAAACCUGUUGAUGUUAAUUGUUGGCACGAAGCCUGUUGCUACUCAUUGGUGGCACGAAGCCUGUUGAUACUCAUUGGUGGCAUAAAGCCCGAUUUAUUCAUCAAUUUCUUGAGCACGAAGCUCUCUACAAAAGUUUUUUUUUUUUUUUUUGUGUUUAGCUAUUCGAUCGAAAAUUCUUUUGAAGCAUGGCGAUGAAUUCUAUCAAGAUGGACAGUUUAUUGGGCAUGUUAACUAUGCGAUUACAAGAUGAUAAUUUUGUGAAAUGGUCCUUUCAAUUUUGAUCUAUUCUUGAAGGUUAUGACCUAUUUGAGCAUUUUGAUGGUUCCUUUGUGUGUCCGUCGAAGUUUGUGGUUACUAAGGAGACUGGGAUUACUACUGAGAUUACAAAAGCCGAUAAGGAGUGGAUUAAACAAGAUAGAGCUCUUGUGAGUCUAUUACUUGCUACACUUGGUGAUGAAGCUGUUGAGUAUGUUGUUGGUUGCAAAACUGCUCAUGAAGACUGGACGAAUCUUCAAGACCGGUAUGCUACUGUGUCUAGGGCUCAAAUUAAUCAUUUGAAGACUGAGCUUCACACUAUCAAGAAAUGGGCUAAUAGUGUAGAGAAGUAUAUGCUCAGACUUAAGGCUUUUAAAGAUCAAUUAAUUGCAGCUAGUGAAGUAACAUUUGAGAAUGAUCUAAUUAUAGUUACUUUGGCUGGCUUACCUGCUGAGUUCAACAUGAUUCGAACUAUGAUUGUAGCUUGUGAGACUCCAAUUUCCUUUAAGGAAUUUAGGGCAUAAUUGUUAGCUGCUAAAAGAACUGCUAAAGAUCUCAUUCUACUUUGACUUUUCCAAUGUCCGACAUGUAUUGCCAUGGUGAAUCUUCUAAUGCUGCUCAAAACUCUUAGAGGUCUUCAUAAUAUUUUGAUGAAGGUUAUGGUUAUGUUGGUCAAAGUCGUGCUGAAUCUUCGAGUAAUGGUUCCAGACCAAAUGGUGGGCUAAUUUCUCAAGCUCAAUUGCCUCCAUUUCAUCAAUAGGGAAAUGGUCAUUUUCAAAAUCAAAGGAAUUAUCAAAAUUAUGGCAGCAAUAAUGGAAGAUUUAAUAAUCGACCCAGAUCUAAUAGAGGUAACAAUGGCAGAUUUUCUAGGAAUUCCACCAUGCCUUCUAAUAAUUUUGGUAACAGUGGAGGAAUUGGAAUGGCAACAUUGGUUCUAAGUCUACUCUGAUUCCUAAAUGUCAAAUUUGUAAUAAGCGUGGGCAUACUGCACCAAAUUGCUUCUCUUGGUAUUUUGCAAGUUCUAGCACUGUUCCUUCAAUUCUAGAGUGUCAAAUAUGUGGGAAACGAGGGCAUACUGCUCUUAACUGCUACCACAGGAGCAAUUAUGCUUAUCAGGAUGCUCAACCACCAUAUUGUCUCACUGCUAUUACUGCACAAACAAAACCAAGUUUUGCUUCUUCAUAACCAAAUUGGGUGCUAGACACAGGUCACAUGAUAGUAGAUUUGGAUAACUUGACUCUGGUGGCCCCUUUUGAAGGAAAUGAACGAAUUACAGUGGGUAAUGGUUAAGGACUUCCGGUUGCUUGGGUUCCAUUUUCACUCCUUCGAAACUAUUAACUUUGCAAAUGGUUUUACAUGUUCCUAAAUUCGUUGCUAGUCUAUUAUUUGUUGAUAGACUGUGUAAAGAUAACCAUUGUUAUGUUAUUCUUGAUGAGUUUGGUUUUUGGGUGCAGGACAAGGCAACAAAGAAAAUCAUCGAAAGAGGAAGGAGUAGUAGUAGUGGCUUGUAUUACAUCCCUCAGCAACAUUUUUUCCAGUAUUCUCAGCUUUUGGACACUCCACCACAUGCUUUUUUAGGGAAGCUUGUGAAGUCUUCUAUUUGGCAUCAUCGACUUGUUCUAUAACCACGAGUUCAGCUAUUUCAUCUGUACUUGAUUCCACUUUGCAAAAGUUAUCUCAUACCAUAGUGUCUGUUGUUUUACCAAGGCAUUUGAAUGAGUUUGAGGAACAAUUAUCAAAUAUGGGAGUGCCAUCUUUGUCUUCUCAAAGUUCCAGUGUAUCUGCCAGUUUAGAUAGCAUCUCAGCACAAGUUACUACUCCUACUACUACUCUACUAGCAACUUCUUCUUCCUCUCAAGUGUUGCUUAUCCAUACUCAGACCCCAACUCAAGUAUCUUUUUCUUUUCCUGAGCCAUGAUAGGAGCAUAUUUAUGCAACUUAGUUAGCUUGUCUCUUGGUAUUUACUUAGUUUAAUUCUAGUUAUUUUAGUACUUUAAGCUAUUUUCGUGUGUUUGUAGGUUCAAAUAACAAAGUUACCAACAAAGUGCUAUUUGGAGCCUUUUGGAGCCUUUUUGGGCCAAGAUUGGAUAGUGCAAGCAUGGAGACAUAAGGAUGGAUGUUUUUGAAGAUUUGAAGGCUAAAAAUCAGCAUGUGUGUGUGCAAGUGUGUUGACCUACAACUCCAAACAUCCAUCAAUUACACCCAUUACAUCCACUCAUUACCAAACACUCAUCCACUACACCCAUUACAUCCACUCAUUACCAAACAUCCAUCCACUACACCCAUUACAUCCACUCAUUACCAAACACUCGUCCACUACACCCAUUACAUCUACUCAUUACCAAACAUCCAUCCACUACACCCAUUACAUCCACUCAUUACCAAACACUCACCCACUACACUUAUUACCAAACACUACACAUUACCCACUACACCCAUUACAUCCACUCAUUACCAAACACUACUCAUUACCAAACACUCGUCCACUACACCCAUUACAUCCACUCAUUACCAAACAUCCACCCACUACAACCAUUUCAUUACCAAACAUCCACCCACUACAACGAUUACAUCCACUCAUUACCAAACAUCCACCCACUACAACCAUUACAUCCACUCAUUACCAAACAUUCAUCCACCACACCCAUUACAUCCACUCAUUACCACAACACUUAUCACUACCACCUUAAUUAGACGGUGGUCCUCCCUAGCCUAUAAAUACAUCCACCCUUCACCAUAACAAUGGGGAAGAAAACGAGAGAGAACACAAUCCACCCAUCCACCCUUCACCAUAACUCACCUAUAUCCAUCCACCACCAUAAUUUACCACUCAUCCAUCAAACCACACCUUGUGCCACAAAAAAGAGAAAAAGGAGGACCCUUGGACGUGUUUGCCAUUCAAGUUGGAUUGUUGAAGCGUUUUUAGGUGUUUUCUUUCUUUUGUUUUCAAUGUGUAAAUUUGUUUAUCUUUGCUUUGUAAGUAUGAGGAACUAAACCCCCCCCUUAGCUAGGGGGAAUUCGAAACCAUGUUCAUGCUUGCAAUAUGAUUUGAUUACCUUCAGUUAUGAUUUCAUAAGUUGUGAAUUCAAUUUGUUUAACUGCUUGAUUGAUAACUUAUUCGUGUAUGUUUAUUAAGAGUGCACACUUAGUUUGCAUGCAUGAAUAUGAUGCUAGAGUAUAAGGGAGUUUCACCUAAUAGUUACAAACUUAUAUUCACAAGUAGUGGAGGUCGCUUAUAAACGAUCGCGUUAAAUAAAUUUUUGGCAGGAGUUUCAUGCUCAUCAUAGUAACGAAUGCCUCGUCAAUACUUAUAGUUUUCAUAAUGCUUAAUGAUCUUUGAUUGUAUCUUUAUUGUGCUUUUCACGUAAAAAACUUUUGAAGAAUGCUUGAAUUGUUGUAUGCGCUUUCCUAUCAAAUUCAAUAACUUAAGGAGAACUUGAAGGUUAAUUUAAGCGGACUUAAUUAACCUGGGGUGUUGAGUUUCAUGAUUGAUCGAAAGAACAACUGAAAAUUGGUUUAUGUGCAAAUAUGUCAUGUGUGGAGAAGAACCUCUUAGCUAGCCUUCCAUCCAUUCAAUUUACUCAAAUUCGUGCAGAUUUCAUUAGUUCUUUAAUUUACUUGUUUUGUUUUCAAAUUCGUCAAAACCAAAACCCCCUUUACUUUAAAGUGUUUUGUUAGUCAAAAUCUGUUUUGAUUUGUGUUUUAGGUGUCCCAAAAGUGUGUUAGAGUCCAAGUCUGCCCAGUUUGUGUUUUUAGGCAGAUUGAGCGUUUUUAGCUUGUUUUGAGUCCUUUGAGUUUGUUUUAAAUUCUUUGAGUCUAGUUUAGUGUUUUUAACUUUGUUUAUAUGUUUUUAAGUCAGUUUAGAGGUUUUAGUAAGCCUUCCUAAUCCCCGGUUUAGAACGAUCCCUACUUGCAUUUAUACUACAAUUUGACAACAAAAGGGUUUAAUUUGUGUGUUAAGUUAAAAUUCGCAUCAAGCCAUCUCAUACAUCUACAGAGUUUGAUACUCAAAUUACUCAUUCAAAUCAUGAACAUGAUGUGUCUAACACUGUUGUGCCUAGUAAUGUAGUAGUUGUUUCUUCUGAUCAUAAUAUGGUUACAAGGUUGAAAAGUAGUGCAAUCCAAAGAAGGAACUAUGCAGCUUAUCAUGCAUCUUUAUCUGAUAAUGAGUUUACCCUUCUUUCACAUACUGAUGAUGUAGUCUUUUGUGGUUUUACUUCUGUGUUGGAUACUCAUGAUUCUUCUGAGCCUUCUCAUUAUAAAAAGGCAGUUCUAUCUCAGCACUGGCGCAAUGCUAUGACAGAAGAAUUUAAUGCUCUUCACAAACAAGUUACUUGGGAGUUGGUACCUUAUCCAAAAAAUAAAAAUGUCAUAGGUAGCAAAUGGGUGUAUAAAAUCAAGAAAGAUCAAGAUGGCAAGAUAUUGAGGUACAAGGCUCGACUUGUUGCACAAGGAUAUAGUCAAUAACAAGGCUUGGAUUAUGAAGAAACGUUUAGCCCGGUUGUUCGACAUACUACAGUUAGGCUUGUUUUAUCUCUUGCUACUAUGCAUAAGUGGGACUUAAGGCAAUUAGACGUGAAAUAUGCAUUUUUACAUGGUGAAUUACAAGAAGAGGUGUUUAUGAAACUAACUCAAGGGUUUCAAGAUCCUUUAUAUCCUAACCAUGUUUGCAAACUUCUCAAAUCUUUGUAUGGUUUAAAACAGGCACCACGAGCCUGGAAUGCAAAGUUUACCAGUUAUCUUCCUACUUUGAAGUUUCAGUCUUCUCACUCUGAUCUGAGCUUGUUUGUGAAAUUCUGUGAUGGUGAUGUAGUAAUUCUUCUUUUAUAUGUCGACGACAUUAUUAUUACAGCAAGCAAUUGAUGAUUUGGCCUCUGUAUUUGACAUGAAGGACAUGGGCAAACUCACUUAUUUUCUGGGACUUCAAGUUACCUACAGAGAAAAUGGGGAUAUUUUUCUUAGGCAGUCAAAGUAUGUCAUUGAUCUUCUUAAUAAGGCAGGUAUGGUGCAUUGUAGGCCUUGCUCCACUCCUAGUAAACCUCAUACACAGUUAUUGAAGGAUGAAGGAGAAUCAUUGUCUGAUCCCACAGUUUAUAGAAGUUUGGUUUGUGCAUUGCAAUAUUUGACCUUUACUAGGCUAGAUAUUGCAUAUGCAGUCAAUUAUGCUUGUCAAUUCAUGAAUAACCCAAUAGAAGAUCAUUUCUGUUUGGUGAAGCUGUGCAUACUUAGGUAUUUGAAGGGUACUUUGACCUGUGGCAUUACUUAUUCAGCUACUGGAAAAUUGGAGUUGCUUGCCUAUAGUAAUGCUGACGCAGCUGAUAUCAAUACUAGACGAUCAACAACUAGAUAUGUUGUUUUCCUAGGAUCUAAUCUCAUUUCUUGGCAGUCAAAGAAGCAAGGCAAUGUGUCUAGGAGUUCAACAGAGGCUGAAUAUAAAGCAUUGGUUAAUGCAACAGCUGACAUUGCUUGGAUUCGACUGGUUCUUAAUGAUCUUCAUAUGUUUCUUCCUUGUGCUCCUGUGUUGCAUUGUGAUAUUCUGUCUACAUUAACUUUGUGUUCUAAUCCAGUCUUUCACACUCGGAUUAAACACUUAGACACUGAUUUUCAUUUUCUUCGUGAAAGAGUACAAAAAGGGGAUAUGGAGGUUCAGUACAUUCUUAUAGAUGCUCAGAUUGCAGAUGUCUUAACAAAAGGAUUACACAAUCCUUUGUUUGUUCGUCAUUGUUCCAAUCUCAGACUGGGUUAUCCCAGCUGAGAUUGAGGGGGAGUAUUAACAAAAGACACUUCAACAUUUGAUUAACUUAGUGGUUAAGUUUUAUCUAAAUACUAUGAUUUUAAAGUCUUUAAAUAUAGUCUUUAAAAUCACAGCUGUUAUCCAAAUAUAUAUAGUCUUUAAAAUCAUAGUUGUUAUAUUUAGAAUCAUGUUUAGCCUCCCUCUCGGUUGGAGAUGUUUUUUGUCACAUGGCUAUGUUUGGCCUAUGGUCAUUUGGCCCCUUCGGUUGGAGAUUGUAUGAAAUAUGGUAUGGCACUGUUCAUUAAAAUAUAAUUUCUUAGAGGGCUAUAGUGUUAAAAAGAGUCAUCUGGCCUUCUUUCGGUUGAAGAUGGCCUCAGUCUUUCUACUUGGGCAUUUUCUAUUAUAUGGAAUUAAUUUGAAAAAAAAAAAAACAUAAAUGCAUCCUUCGUGUUUCAAAUUGAAAACAAUUCACAAAAACCAGUUUUUUUCCCCACUAAGCAAGCAGUUUUUUUUUUUUUUUUUUGUUAUUUAUCUUACUUUUAUAGUGUGUGUGUAUAUAUAUAUAUAUAUAUCCAAAUAGAUACAUAAAAGAAAUUUGGGGCUAGUAAAUCAGAGGUCCUAGGCAGUCGCCUUACUCAGCUUCCCUCAAGGCUAGCCCUAUGUCACUAUAAGAGCAUUUCCAACUGUUGCUUAUAAGCAAGGGCAAAGGCAAUGCAAUUGCCCAAAACACCUCCAACAGGACAAUAAAAGAAAUAAAGGCAAGUGGUGGACCAAGCCAUGCUAGCCCAAAUGCCCAUGUAAGUUAAGCAUUGCCUUCCUCAACAGGCAUGGCUGACUCAGCCACGGUCUUUACGUUUUUUCCAAUUUGUAACACAUGUCCAAAAUCAGGGUGUGAGCCAACAAAACCUGCAAUAGUAGGCCUUGUUGCAACACUAAUUGAAGAGCCUAACGGCUCUAUGACGUGGCACGAUGAGAGCCGUUGGAUUUCCAACAACCUGAUGAUCUGGACUAUUGGAUUUUCAAUGGUAAAGAAUUUAAAAAGUUAUCGAUGCACCAUGUUGCACGUUCUAGUGCGUCAGAUUCAACAAUAAAAAAAAUCAAACGGUCAGGAGUAAUUUGAUUGUUAAAAAUGGAAGGAAAAAAAGAAGAAGAUGGCGAUGCAACAAAUACGGAAGAAGAUUCAUACACAAUUUGUCGAGCUGAUUCAACGCAUAUCCAGGUCUGAGCUAUCUCUAUUGAGUAUAUGCAAACAUCUAAGUAAGUCAACAUAGAGAGUUAAAAUCUGGGCAAGAAGCCCUCACAAAAGCAUAAUCUAUUUAUCAAAAUGGCAAUAAUAUAGCCAAUAAGGUAAUAACAUUUUAUUAUUAAUAAAUUUCAAAUGUGAUUAACAUGUUAUUAUUUGGACCAUCAGGUAAUUAAAAGUAAUCAUUGAUUAUGUAAUUUAUAAUGUUGUUUCAUAAUUCUUUGCUUUGCAUUUGAAAUUAAAUUAUUAGAGUUAAACAUGGAGUUUUACUUUCAAAGAACAAACUUACAAAGUGCACACUUAAACACUUACAAGGCAUAUAUAAAUAAAUAAUAUAUAUUUGUGAAUAAUAAUCGCCCUUAUCUGCGACAACUCGUCCUUAAUUUUAAGUUUUAUAAAUUUUAAAAUAGUGAUUUUAUGAAAAUGCCCUUAGAGGCAAGGAUGUUUGACUUUCGUUGACCAUUCGAAGUCACAAUUAAUGUUUCCGAAUAGAUUUUGAAGCUACGAACGCAUAGGCAAAAGCCGUUUGCGAGUUCGGAUUAUAACAGUAUAGUUACGGACAUUUGAAGUCGUUUCAUUAAACAAUAGAUUUAAAGGAAUAUAAACUCCCACCUUGUGGGAAAGAGGCCAUUCAGGCUAAAGGGAAGGAACCAAUCAGUUAAAUGGUGGAGGACCAAUCAGAAUUUAGGGGGGAGUGAGCAACCAAUCAAAGAGAAGGAGGAAAAAAAAGAAAAGAAAUGAAGCUUUCCUUCUCGACGACUUGUGCACCUGCACAGGGCUCAACCAAUUCCGCCAACUUUCGCCAUUUUCCCCAUCAAACCGCCAUCAUCCAACACCUGCAAUCCUUUCCACAACCUCCCCUCUACCAUCUCCACCCAAAUUCGAAGGUUUUUAAGUCCAAAACCGUGUAGAACCUCACCGGAGCACCGGAGGUGCUUGACGGUGAUUCCUCCGAUCCAGUGAGUUUCACCACCCACCACUACCCUUAAUCAACUCCCCUUAGACCCAGGAAUAAGAUCCAACCAGUGAUAGGGGCGUUGGAACACCGGCAAAGUCGAAUCGAUGAACACCUAUUAUAGGGUUUCAGACGGGUUCGUGGCGAUUUGAGGUUUUUUCGGCCAAAUUGGACUUGGCCACAUAUAUAAAACUUGCUCUACUCAUUGAGAUCUUCAUUUAAUUGAAAUUUGAGAAUUUUUAGAAAUAGUUUAUUUUUCCGGCGAGUUGGGACGGUCGACUGUCGUUUGCAGCGGCAUGUGGGCCGAGGCACCCCCUAACCUUCCUAAGCUAAGUUUGAUACCCCAAUUCCAUAUGUGAAGUCAGAUUGAUGAAAUCUCAUCGUUUGAACAUAGUUUUGAUAGAGACCGCUACUUGAUCCUUGUAUGAAUUGACGAACCGACCGUUGGAUCAUCACCAAAAUUUAAUAUAUUAUAGUAUGUAAUAUUUUAGGAUAUUAGAAACUUACGGAUUGGGAAUCCAACUUAUGGAUCUUCCUAAAAUGGAUUUGUAAGUUCGUAAAAUAAAACGUUGACCGCCACUUGAAUUUGCAAUUGGUGGAGAUCCAACCAUUGGAUCGUAAUGAAACUUUAGUAUGAUGUUCUAGAAGCAUAAUGUGGAUCUUUUGAAGUUACGGAUCAAAAAUCUAAGUUGCGGAUCUUCCGGAUUGAGUUACGUAGGAUUAUGGACCCUACCGCCAACCUUUGACCGAUGAUUGAAUUUUGGUCAAUGGGUUUCAAAUCAUUCUAGAACGUCCUUAGGGGAUGUGUUUUAUGUAAGUUACGUGUUCUAUCGAUAAGAAUUCUAAGACGUUAUUUGAUAUUUAUUCUAGGCGACGAUUGUUCGUGAUGCCUCGAUAUUCGUGCUAGGGAGUUGUAGCCCGGACCUCAGGUGAGUGGGUCUUUUUCUUUUUAUAGUGUAUAGAUAGAUAUAUAUAUAUAUACACACACACACACACACACAUAUAUAUAUAUAUGGUUGAUAGUUUCCACAAAUGAUUUUGAAUUGAUUUAUGCAUAUCAUGCUAUGAUUAAAUAUUGUUAUUAAAAACUUUGCAUUGUUAUGAAAUUGUGAAAUGCCAAACGAUCCUACGGGAUGCGCAGGUUUGAUCAGGUGAGUUUAAUUUGUGAUUGGAAUUGUUGCACCAUAUUGGCAUGCAUAAAUUCAUUUAGUGCUCAUCAUUGUUGCACCCCAGUGUUAGUCAUCCUGUCCUGGGCCAGGGCACAGCCUUCACGUGUAUGUUCACCUCCCGCAUCGCACACUUACCUUGGAUCCAAGUAGGUGCUAGCCUAUCGUAUAGACUCGAUUAGGCAGUUUGAUGCGAAAAUUAACUUAACACACAAAUUAAACCCUCUUGUUGUCAAAUUGUAGUAAUAAUGCAAGUAUGGAUCGUUCUAAACCGAGGAUUAUGAGGGCUUGCUAAAACCUCUAAACUAACUCAAAAACAUAAAAACAAAGUUAAAAACAUUUGAAUAGACUUAAAGAACUCAAAACAGGUUCACAAGACUCAAAAUAAUUUAAAGACACUCGAAACUGCCUAAAAACACAAACUAGGCAGUUUCUGACUCUAACACAACUUUGGACGAAAUUUGGGUUUUGACUUGACUCAGAACACUCUAAAACACAAACAAAACAUAUUUUAAACACUUUGAAACAAGAAAGUAAAAGGGGGAUUUAGUUUUGAUGAAUUUGAAACAAAUAAACAAGUUAUAAAACUAGGCAGAUUGUAAAACGAAUUUAAGAAAUAAGAUAAUGGAUGGAUUAGUUAGAGGUCCGUUCUUCACACAUGACACACUUGUAUAUGAAUUGAUUUCCAAUUGCUUUUCAAUAAACUAUGAUGCUCAACACCCCAGAUUAAUUAGAUACGCUUAAAUUAAUCCUCAGAUUUUCCUAAUUUCAUUGAAUUGGAUGAUUGCAUACAACAACCCAAAGCAUUCCCCACAAGUUCCCUACAUGAAUUGCAUAAUAGAGAUACAAGCAAGAAUCAUUAAGUUCUAUGAAAAUCAUAAGCAUUGACGAAACACUUGUAACUAUGAAUUGCAUGAAACUUAUGCCAAGAAUUCAAUUAACGCGAUUGUGAUAAACAACCUUCACUACUCAUGAAUAUAAACUUGUAACGAUUAGGUGAAACUCAUUUAUAUUCUAGCAUCUAAUUCAUGCAUGAAAACUAAGUAUGCAUGAAAACUAAGUAUGCAUCCUUAAAUAACAUACAAGAAUCAGUUAUGAAUAAAAUAGAUAAUUGAAUUGCAAUCACAACUUAUCAAAUCACAAUUGGAAGAAAUCAAUUUAAAUCUCAAGCAUGUUCAUGGCUUCAAACUUCCCCCUAACUAAAUAGUGGUUUAGCCACUCAUAAUUGCAACAAAAUUAGAAAAUAACAAAGUAGACAUUGAAAGCAAGAACGAAGUACACCUAAAACGCUCCAAAGUUCCAAGCUUGAAACGCCAAGGGCCUUUGUUUUCACCACCUUGUUGUAGCAUAAGUGUCUAGGAUGUGUAUGGAUAUAUGGAUAGAAUGGAUUUGCAUGACAUAGAAAAUGGAAAUGUAUGGAGAUGUGUUUGAAUGUAUGGAUGAAAUGGAAUGGAGCUCAAGGCAAGGGACUUGUGUUUGUGAAUGAAGCUCUUUUGAUGGAUCAAGAUUGUCGUUCUUUGGAAGGGGGGUGGUGGAUGUAUUUAUAGGCUAGGGAGAGGACCACUCCAUUUCCUUUGCAUGUGCAGAUUGCAUGGGUGUGUGCUGUCCAUGUUUCUCCUUUCCUUUUCCACCCAUUUUCUGAACCUUUCAGUGUUACAAUGCCCAUAACCUCUUCUAGAAAAAUGAUAUUAACAAUCCGUAAAUUGUUCUAGAAAAUAGACAUCCGUAGCUUUCCAGGCAUAUAAGGCUCAUUCUCUCAUUCAUUAUACGAUGUUCGUAACAUGCUUUCAAAGUCAGCUAAUCUGCACAGGCAGUUUUGACGAAUUUGUUGGCUGUCCAUGUUUCUCCUUUCCUUUGCAUGUGGUUGUGUCUUCUCUUUCUAGCUGUGCAUUUCCACUUGAUCCAAAGCCAAAUGAGUGCAAUCAUAACCCCAUUUGCUGCUGAGUGUUGAUGACAAAGCAAAACACAAAACAAGUGCCUUUACUUUCUCAUUUUAUUAGCCAAAUCCGCUUAGCCCUUUUCUAAACCUUUAAGUGUUACAAUGCCCAUAACUUCUUCUAGAAAAAUGAUAUUAACAAUCCGUAAAUUUCUCCAGAAAAUAGACAUCCGUAGCUUUCCAGCCAUAUAAGGAUCAUUUUCUCAUUCAUUAUGAGAUGUUCGUAACAUGCUUCCAAAGUCAGCUAAUCUGCACAGGCAGUUUUGACGAAUUUGUUGGUUGUCCAUGUUUCUUCUUUCCUUUUGCACACACAUGCUUCAUCAUUUCAGCCAAAUCAACACAUGUUCUCCAUCACAUGGCAGCUAUGAUGUUUGUUAGUUGUAGGUCACACACUUGCACACACAUAUGUUGAAUUCUAAUCUUCCCAAAACGUCCAUCCUCAUGUCUCCAAGUGCAUGCAAUCCAUUUCAGCCCAAAAUUGCUCCAAAAUGCACCAAAAUGCACUUUUCUUGCCAACUUUGUUAUUAGGACCUAACAACAUACGAAAAUGGCUUAAAACACUCUUAUAAGCAAUAACUAACUAAGUAAGUGCAAGAAAACAUGUUAACUAAGUCGCAUAAAUAUGCUCCUAUCACAGUUCCGACUCAUAGAUGACCCACGAUUUAUCGCUAGCCAUCACGUGAUCAUAGGACUAAAGCGUAUAUAUUUACACCCAGCUUGUCGUACAGGUCACACUAGGUGACUCCGACUCGUGUGCUAGCAUAGACUGAUGAGCAAUAGGUCCAUUCAUACAUGUCACAUUAGGUGACUCCAACUGGCACGCUAGUUGAUUAUUCACACCUGACUUACAUUUAUUUUUAUUGAGAUAUUGUGACAUGGCAUGCUUUUGUUGUCACUGCUUUUAUGCAUUGGUUCUUUAUGUUUACGUAGUGUUAUUUUCUGGAAACUAUACAUGUUUUACGGCAAGGGGUUAUAAUGUUUUCAUUGAAACUUUAUUUUUAGGCCCACUCAUCCUUGUUUUUCAUCCCUCCAGGUUUUAGCAGCAGAACUUUGUAUCGACGAGGAUUCUUGGCAAUUCUCAAUAUAGGUGGCUACCUUUGAGGGUAUAAUCAUUAUCCUAUCUUACUGUAUUUCACUUAUGCUCUGACAUCACGUGUGAAAUGGGUUCAUUCUCGCUCAUCGCGCACUCUUGUAUUUAGGCACUUUUAGGUUUAAAUUUAUUCACAUUUUCCAUCACACUACACUUUAUAACUUCGUCACCUUCCAGGUGUCGGCCAGCACAACAUGAUUUGGAGUCCAAGUAGACAUUCCGGAUCGAGGUGUGUCAUUAUCCUUGUUGAUCUAGUGGAGUUACACAAUGACAAUUACUUUCCAAAAGGGCAAUUGCCUUACUCCAACGAGUGUAACUGCUCUAAAGUAUCUCAUUUAGCAUAAAGAAUUAUGAGUAAAUGGGCUUAAACUUUGGUGCUCUCAAGUAGUCCAAAGUCUCAAUUAAAGAGCUUUUCAUAGGGUUUAUAGAGAUUGGCAACCUUCCACAAAUCAACUCCUCUUAAAUCGUAUGUAUUGGUUCCAUAUGAACUUGGUUGGUGUAAGGUUUAAACAAACGUUUUCGAAUGAUUCAUGUCUAUGUAGCCAUUUGCAAUUCACCUCAAUCAUUUAAUCAUUUCAAAUUCCUCUAUUUAAUAUUGCACAAUGCAUUUCUAACUAAAGUAGCCUAAAUUCAUUGGUAUUUGAUAACCUUCAUUCAAAUACAAUAAUAAAUCUAGUAUUGUCUCUAGCAUUGGUUUUAGCCUUCGGGUCUUUCACGUGAGAAGCAGUUAUAUGAGACGGGUUCAUCAUUACAUGAUUUUUUUUUAUCUAAUAAUGUGUUGUUAUGUAAAAGUUUUUCUUUACAUGGCAACAUAUUAUUAUAUUGAGACAUCAUGUCAUGUAACAGUAAACUCAUUUCAUAUAAAUUGCUCAUUUUUUUUACUCCAUUAUCCUUUUUCGCUUGGGCACCAUAAAGAAGUCAUCCAAUGAUCGAUGAUCAUAAAAAUUAAUAAAAAGAUAAUCUUUAGAAUUAAAGUGGAAUUUGAAAUGGAAUCAAAUUUGAAUUGAGAUCCAAACCUUCGUAUUAAACUAGAACAAGUUCACUAAAUAAAGGUGAGGCCAACCACCAACCAAUAUUUAUACAAAAAUAAUCGCAUUCCACUCCGACCCUACCGAAUUCUUCAGGCCAUUAACCACCAUUGAAUAAACAGUACAGAAAAUCAUAAAGUAAUUAUGCUCUUAAACCGAAAAGAAAUCGAGAGUAAUUAAUAAUUAGUGCCAAGAUAUCAUUAAUAUUAUUUUUAAGGAUUCGGACGCGUAUAGUGAUAUAUUCUAUCAUUACGUCUCUCAGAUUCCGCAUCGAUUGGUGCGAGAUAUUCUAUCGUCAAUGUUUCUCGGACACUUUCUUGUUAAACCCAUUUACUACAACUAGGGAUUAAAUUUUUUGCCAAAUUACCAACCAUAUUAUACUAAAGUUCUGUAAAAAAAUUUGUAUCAUUGGUAAUGAUACGAUAUUUGUAUCGUACCAUACAUUUUUGGAAGAUAAUAGUAUUCAAAAUCAUUACCAAUUAUAUACCAUACUGUAACACUACUAUUAAUAUUAUAUAAUUUAUUUAUUCAUUUAUAUAUAUUUACGUAUUAUUAUAAUUAUAUAUGCACUUUAUAUUUUUUUUCCUAGUCAUUUAUCCAAUCAUCUCACAUUCUAACCUCUACUUUCCCAAUAAAAAAACAUAAGCCUUCUUACGCUGCGACUCUUCAUCUUUUCACUCAUCUAGCCACCGACUUCAUCUAUGUUGCUCUAGUUUCGGCGACUGUCUCUCCGGAGUCCACCUCAUCUUCUCCUUUAUCAAAUUGGGAUGUCUUUCUCCCUGGCUUUGUCUAUCAAGUUAAUUUUUGUUUAAUUUUAAAGAAUGUAAAGAUGAAAUUUAAGAAUCUUUGUACUAUUUUUUUAGGGAUAUUGGGUUCUUUGAGCAAUUCUUCCAUCUGUUUACUUCUUUGUUUCUUUAAUGAAUCUUUAUAAAAUUCUCAUAAUUAAAUAAAAAAGUUUUAGAAACCCAAAAGGAGUGACCCAAACACGUUUGGGCCUUGAAUUGGGUUGGAAAAAAAAUCAAAUUUUGGCCCAAAAGAAUGACCCAAAACAAAGUGGUAAUUACCAUUACCAUAUCAUGUCAACCGAACUAUUUGGCAUGCCGAAAUUUGGUAUAUCGAAAGUUUGGCACAGUAAUGAUAAUAGAUUUUAUCAUACCAAAAGUUUGGUACGGUAAUUGAUACAUGGGUUUUGGUACGAUAAUUGUACCAAUACCACCCCUAACUACAACUAUCCAAUCAAAGACUAAUCCCGUUUCAUGAGAGAAUUAUGACUAAUAUCAAUUUCACGAGAAAUUUUUCAAGGUGACAGGAACCCACAUAACCAUGGACACUUUAUGUAUCCAUUUAAUCGGAGGAUGUCACAUGCCUAACCGAAGAAUCUACCUAAUUUAUUUUUAAUGAAAUUACGCUGUCUGUUCUAUUAAUAAAUCCACAAGGUUUAUCUUUUAAAAUGUUAAUUAAAUUAGAACUAAAACAGAAAAAUAAAAAUAAAAAUCUCCAAUCCAAAUAACCCCGUCCCCGGCGAGACACACCACCCCCGAUCCCACCACCACCACCUCUGAUCCCGUUCAAAUCUGGUACCGCCACCACCUCCCUCUCUUGCUCUUCCUCAUAGACGAACAAUAACAGGCACAGUGGCAGACGUCGACGCUAUUCUACCCCUCCCCGAACCCAUGCGGACCAUCUUCCUCAUUGUCAUCUUCAUCAGCAUGAUUUUCAAGUUUUUCUUUGACGUGCUAUCUUUGCUUCUUGUUGGGUUUUUUUGUAAGAUGUAAUCUGAAAAUCAACAAGUUACUAGGAUUACAGAUAUAACAAAUAUAACUACAAUAAAUCAAUCAAACAAUUAAAGGGAAAUAAACUUAUCUUCCAAAGCAGAGGAAGAAGACGCUAUGACUGCUAGGGUUUCAUAGGUUGUCUUCUACUUCCAGUACUUCAAAAUGUCUCUCUACCGUGAAUAGGGUUUGGCAUGAUUGAGAGUACAAGCAUAUGGAAGCAGGAACUUAACUGUGGUAUUUAUAUCAUUAGGGUUUUCAUCACAUCCGACCUAUCAUUGGCUAUGAAGAUCUACCCUAUCUCUCUAGUAUUUAAGUCCCACCAUGAUACGAUACCUUUGUAAUAAAUCUAUCAGAUUUCCUCUAGGUUAAUUGCAAGGGACAAGACUCCAUAAUCCUUAUUAGGUUAGGACUAUCGGAUCACUUUGGUUGCUAACCACUCGAUAGACAAUUGGCUUACAACAAAAAGAUCCAAUACAACAUUCAUUGUCAUUCACAAUCUUAUAUUCUCCCACUUGAAUGUCAAUAAUUCAUCCUAACAAAAUAAGAACUCAUUGUGAUCACUGAGUCUUCAUAAGUAUGCAAUAACCUUUCCUAGCAACCUGUCACUUUGAAUCGAAUGCCGAACCAAAGAAAAACAAAGAACAACUUGGUCUGUUCCUUGCACUCCAAGAUCACAUACACAUUCAACUUAAAGCACUUUGUUGCUAACAAAGUCAUGGUGUCAAGAGCUAAUAGUCAAAACAUUAGCUCACAAUAGUCAAACUGAAAAUAUGAAAAUAUAUUUCAGUACAAAAGUAGUUCACAAAAGAACUCAACAACGUUGGUAACAACAUCCAACUUCUCUGUCAAUUUAGAAUAUGAUAAGAGAACAAGUAAAAUAUGACAUACUAUUUACAAAAUCAGAACCUCUUAUUAAAACUUAUGAACAAAACUUAAACAAAAUUUACUCUUAAAAUAUCAGCCACUAACACUUCAAAAUUUUAACACAAAAGGUAAUCUCUUACUCCCACUGAUUAGUAGAGAUAAACAAAUUAUUACUCCCACUGAUUAAGAGAGUAAAAAAAACUUUAUAAAUGCCUAUAAAAUGAAACUGACACCUUUCAAAUACUCCCAUUAGCAAAACAUUAGUCAUGGGAUCUAAAACAUAAAAUUUGUGAGCUCAACAUCUUUAUUUUAGAUAUUUGUAGGGAAGUGAUUCUCGUGACUGAAAAACUAUACAAAAUUAUUUGGUCAGUUUUGUUCAUCUAACAAUUGACAGAAAUAGAAAACUUUAACUGAAUGUUUUCUAAUGCAUCAAAAGCAUAUAAUUCUAGAAUCAUCUUUGGAUAGAAACUAAUUAUAUUAGGUUUGUAUAGCUAAAACAUAAAAUACAAGGGCAAAUGUAUAUAGCUUCAACACUUUUGAGCAGAUGAAGUAUAUGCAAUCUUGUCAAUUUCAUGUUUCACCAUACAUUGAUUUAUAGUUGUACUGAAAAAGAAAACACUUUUGAGCAGAUUAAUUAUUCAUCAAUAACAUAUAAAUCACAAGUCCAAUUUCUUGAACAACAUACAAGAAUUAAUAAGCAAAACACUUUUGAGCAGAAUAUACUCAUUAACCCUUCUUGAAUUUCCUACAAGAUUAGUUGCAUAUAUAACAAAUAAAAUAUAAAUAAGUAUGAUAAUGUACGUUUUAUCUACCAAAACUAUGACCAUUAAAAGCAUGCAAAAUUGAUGAGUGUGAAGCCCAUAAUACAUUAUUUCUCCCACUUGGGCAAACACUCAAAAUUGCAAGAUUAAACACUAGAGAAAGUGAUUUUCAUUUAACAAAAUAUAUGCAAGUUGAAUCAAUCAAGAUCAAAUACAUAAUUUUUUUUUUUAAAGUAGGUUAGAAUUAAAAAGUUCCAUAAAUAAAAACUUAUGCAAUGACUACAAAUUUUAUUUUAUUUUAGUGUAUGAGAGAAGACUCACAUAUGUGUUAAAGAUUAGGUCAUCAAUUAAAAUGAAACCUAAUAAGAGAAUCUGUUGAUGCACAAAUAUCAGCGAGGACUUUGGUACAACAGAAAGUGUCAGGUUGUGACCUUCGCUUGGUUGCUUCGAUCACUUUUGAAGAUAAGUACGUAAAUGAAUAGGGACAGGGAAGCAAACACAAGAUGUACGUGGUUCACCCAGAUCGGCUACGUCCACGGAGUAGAGGAGUUCUCAUCUACGAUGCAUGGACACGGGGAAAACUCAACGUAUCCCGUAUCUGACACGCAGGGAUACGGAUACGUACAAAAUACGUAUGGAUACGCGCCCGAUACGUAUCGGAACGAAGGUAUACGUUCUUUAUUACCAAGAUACGCGUAUCAUAUUGUCGAGAUACGCGUAUCAUAUUUUUCGGAUACGUUUCAAGCAAAAUCAGAGGAUAAUCAGAAAAAAAAUCCAAUAGAUCCGCACAGAAUCGUGAUUGAUUCGAAUUAGAUAACUUAAACGAUUGUUUAACUAAAAACCAAAACGAUUUCGAACCUCAGAAAUCAGACUCAUCUGCAAUUGCUCCGUCCGUCCGUCGUCUCUAUCGUCUCCGUCUGCAACUGCUCCAUCGUCUCCAUCGUCUCCGUCUGCAACUCCUGGUGAGAGCCUUCGACUUUGUUUUCACUUUGUUAAUUUUGAAGCUCAAUCUGAUUGCAGAACCCCUCUGAAAUUGAAAGAAACAUGCUGCUCUGUUUUUAUUCGAAGCUAAAAGCCCCAUUUCUGCUUUAAGCCAUUGACUAAUUCAAUGUAUCUGUUAUGCAAAAUUGAAAAAGCCAAAACCCAAUUUUGCUUUCUGUAUAAUAUAUUAUUUUGAUCUUCGAAGAUCAAUCAAUGGGGUCAGAUGGUGUGCAAUCAGUAAUCACUUAUCUGUUAUACAAAAUAAUAUUAUAUACAAAAUACUCGUGCCCACUUUUGCUUUCUGUAUAUAAUAUUAUUUUGUAUUUUGUAUAUUAUAAAUAAUAUACUAUUGUGCUUUCAUGAUAUUUAGAUUAUAAUAUUUUAUGGAUUUCAUGAUGUAUUUUUUAAUCUCUUAAGUUAAUAUAAAUUUCUCGUGUAAUAGUCUCUGUCUAUACAGUGGAUUGACUCUUAUUGUUUAUAUAUUUGAUUCUUACAAUUUACAUGUUGAUAAUUUAGGAAAAUGAAUCAUCCUGAUAAUCAUGCGAAUGCUAAUGUCAACCUAGUUGAGAAUGUUGAAAAUGAUCAUGGUACACUAUGGAAGUAUGUCAAAAAGCUCGAAAGAGUGGAAAAUGGAAGAGGAGGUAGUGUGUUUCAAUGCAACUAUUGUCAAAAGAUUUUCAGAGGAUCUUACUCUAGGGUCAAGUUUCAUUUGUUAAAAGUGUCUGGAAAUGGGAUCGUCUCUUGCAAUAAGGUUACUGAUGAAGCUCUUGCAGAAAUGAAAAAGCUAGCUCAAGAAUGAGGGACUCUUUCUUUUUAUUUUUUAAGUCGUUUGGAUGUUCUUUUUAGUUUUUCAAGUUUGAAGACUAAUUUGUUUAGUGGAUUAUCUUUUAAAUGUUUGAAGUUUAUCGAAAUAAAUUUGAACUUGAAUAGUAUAUUUGAAUGCUUAUUUUAUAAUAUUUAGAUAUAUUUAUUUAUUUAUAUUAUUUUUAAUUGCCGUAUCCUUGCCGUAUCGUGUCUUCAUUUUUAGAAAUUUGACGUAUCCCCGUGUCGUGUCGUAUCGUAUCUCCGUAUCCGUGUCCGUGUCCAUGCAUCAUAGGUUCUCAUUAAUUGUGAAGGGUUUACACAAAUACAUAGGUUCAAGCUCUCAUUUUGUGAGUUCUAGUGAAUAGUUUAGUACAAAAUGACAUUAGAGAUUAUUGUGGGAGAAUGAUCCCUAUUUAUAGAAGAGAGUUUCUAGUUUUGUUCUAACAUUGACACGUGUUGUGUUGUGAUUGGCUUCUGAUGUUGACACAUGUCGAGCUGUGAUUGGCUUCUGAUGUCGACACGUGUCGCAUUGUGAUUGGCCUCCUGGUUGAAGGGAAGCUCUUCUGGUCCUUGACGGUAUAACGUUGACCGGUGCUCAGUAGUUUCGGGAUUGGUCAAGUAUGGUACAAACAAAAUCCAAACUCAAAAUUUAUGUUUUAAUUCUAAAACAAAGUCGAGUAAAAUAAACACUUAGAUAUCUCAACAACAACAAUUUUUUUUUUUUAAUAAUUUUAAUCCAAUUUAGAACUCACAGAAAAUUAAGGCAAAAGAUUGGCAAAUUUACCUACUCAUUCUUGAUUCUGCGAGAUUCAUCAUGGAAUUAGUCGAGUUGUGGAGGAUCGAACCAACUCCAAAUUGCAUGAUUGUUACACCUUCGGGCAGAAACUAAUCAUGCAAAGAAAAUACCUGCAUAGCUAGCCAAAACAUAAAAUACACAAAAUACAUAUAGCUUCAACAGCUUUGGCCAGAUGAAAAUAUGUUAGAAGUACUUUAUGAUAUAAUACUAUUUUAUAAUUGGUGAGUGAUUUCCUGAAAUUCCCAUUGGGACAAAAGUAUUCACCAUAUAAAUUAGAAUUCUGAUUUUUCAAAAUAAUCCUUUAGAACAGUAUUAAAUAACCGUUUUGUUGGAUAUUCAAUGAUUCUCAAAAGAUUCAAUCAGACACAAAAGUAUGUCAUUAUUGACAUUGAACAAUAGAGUUCUCGAAAGAGGAAACAUGGUUAUUCAGGUAUUCGAUAGAGACCAAAAUGAUCAAUUAGUAAACUAAUGCCACUUUCCAAUUUUCUCUCAAAAGACAAUCAUCAUAAUCAGAAUUGAUGACCAAACAAAACAUUGGUUUAAGCAAAACAAACCAAUACAUCUUUAAAUCAAAAUUUAAUCAGUGUUGUCUAUAUAAAAUUCAUUAGUAUUGAGAAUUUGCAUAUAAUAAGGACAUAUCGGAACCAUAACCUUGUAUAAUAAUCGGUACCAAUAGAUGUGCACAAAUUAGUGAAACAAUAUCACAUAACAAAACUAGUUUUGAAGUACCAAAAUUCAGCAGUACUACUUUAGUUUGCAAAUUCACUAAAAACUCAAUUCUCUUUAGAUUGUCCUGAAAAUUUUCAAGUAUGAACUAGACAUAUAUGACUACUAUUUCGAAAAAUUUCAUGAUUUUUAAAAUCUUAUAAGUGAGCCAAAAAUGAAUUCGAAAAGAGAGGUGCUACAGCAUUAAUAUGUGUAUUUGAUAUAUCAAAAUCUCCUUUUUAAGAUAAGAAAACAAUUUAAAAAUGACACCAAAAUGGCCACGGCAUUAAUAUGUGUAUUUGAGAAAUUUCCCAAAAGCACUUGAGUCUCAACUUUGCAAUUUUAUGUUUGAAGAUAAAAGUCACAAAGGACAAACGUAGCAAACAUAAAUUGUAAUAUUAUAUAUAUUAUAUUAAACGAAGGAUAAAUUAGACUUAUUAAUCCAACAACUCAUAUUUGAUUUUAGAAAAGAAAGUCUCAACAUUAAUUGGUCCCAACCAUCAGUCAUAGAAGCAUAAGAGAAAAUCAAAAGUUACCAAAUUCUUAUUCCUGAAGAGGGAUGCUUCCAGGCAUAACGAUAGAUGGAAGCGUAAAUCAACUUAAUUAAUAUGUAUGGGAAAGUUAGUUUGCAAAGCAGUUGGACUUUAUAUUCAAAUUAGUUUAACUAAUCAACUAACACACCAAAGUGGCCAUACCAUUAUUCUUGUAAACCAUUACUCAAAAAUAUGCAGCAAACUGGAAUAAAUGAAAUUAAAUGCAAUUGAGGAAAAUCCUCAAAGCCUCAUUCUAGGCAUUAGGAAUGAAGGCCGAGAAAACAUAAAAUGUGAACAUGAUAUAAGAUCACAAUGGCUCACUCAAGUUAUCUCCUAAUGGCAAGUGAUUCACAUUGAAAAAUCUUCGAAAACAACCAAAAUUUUAAACCUGAUCAUUGACACGGUGCGCUAGGAGAAAGAAGCAUGCAAAAUAAUUAUUAACUUAAAAUGGGAUUCCAAAACAAGGAACCCUAACCACUGCCCAGGAGCAACACAAAUGCCAACCAAGCGGAUCAAAACCAAUCUUGAUAUUAAUCAUGUUAAAAAAAAAUAACAAUAGUUAAAUUAUUUAUAUGCAUAUGUGCCAAGCCUUCGAACUUUAAAUCCAAUGCAAAAUUAUAUAUAUAUAUAUAUAUAUUUGAGGUAUAGCCAUAUAUAAAGCAAUCAAAUUUGCUUCUUAAUUAAUCAUUAUCUCGACAUGGCUAAGAAAACUUAUCGUUAAGUUUUCCCAUGAAAGCCAAAACAAAACCUUUUUUUGAUAAUUACAUGAGAAUCAUGAAGUUAGAAAAGUAAUUAUAAAAAUACUCUAAAAUUAAGCGGAAGCCUCAGGAUCGAUAAGUAAAAGACCUUUAACUAAAACACAAACUAAUUGUGCCUUCAGUUUGUCAAAAAUUUGUUCAAACAGAUUACCUUUAAUCCGAACCCUCAAGCUUUGCAAAUUUCUUGGCAGAUUUGUAUCUACAGACAAAAUAAUACAACUACACGCAGAAGUAAUUUCUGCAAAUGGGUCAAAUUAAAAAUAAUAAUAAUAACAUCUAAAUAAUUAUUUGCAAAGCCAAUAUGAUAAUCAAUCCACAUAUUGAAUUAUCAGCAAUUAAAUCAAUGAAUCGUAUUAUUUGCAGAAGCUUUACACAUUGUAAAGGAUAAAAGUGAUGGCAUGAUACGUUACCAUUAUAUUCAAAACCAACCAUGAUCGAAAUUCUGAAUCUUAGACGAGUUGAGUGGCUCUGAUACCACAUGUAAGAUGUAAUAUGAAAAUCAACAAGUUACUAAGAUUACAGAUAUAACAAAUAUACUACAAUAAACCAAUCAAACAAUUAAAGGGAAAUAAACUUAUCUUCCAAAGCAGAGGAAGAAGACGCCAUGACUGCUAGGGUUUCACAGGUUGUCUUCUACUUCCAAUACUUCAAAAUGUCUCUCUACUGUGAAUAGGGUUUGGCGUGAUUGAGAGUACAAGUGUAUGGAAGCAGGGACUUAACCAUGGUAUUUAUAUCAUUAGGGUUUUCAUCACAUCCGACCUAUCAUUGGCUGUACCAAUCUACCCUAUCUCUCUAGUAUUUAAGUCCCACCAUGAUACGAUAUCUUUGUAAUAAAUCUAUCAGAUUUCCUCUAGGUUAAUUGCAAGGGAUAAGACUCCAUAAUCCUUAUUAGGUUAGGACUAUCGGAUCACUUUGGUUGCUAACCACUCGAUAGACUAUUGGCUUACAACAAAAAGAUCCAAUACAACAUUCAUUGUCAUUCACAGUCUUACAUUUUUCUGAUAGGGCAUGAACUUGCAAGGCAGACGAGCACAGGAGUCGACUCAUUGAGUUAAUGGCGGCACGAGUUAGAGAUUGUAGUGGGGAAGACGGAUGAAAUAGAAUUUGGGAGGAGCGGGGAAGACAGAUCGGCCGCCAGGGAGGGGCGCUGUCAUUGUGGGUUGUUGGCUCGACUGUCGAGAUUUCUAUUAUUUAGUUUUAUAUUUUAUUUAAUUGAUUUUCUUAAAAAUUAAAUCAGGUAGACUUUAGUGGGGCACGUGACAUCCUCCGAUUAGAUGGGUAAACAAAGUGUCUAUUGUCACAUACAAGUAUAUGGAUUAUGAUGAUCUCCCAUUCUCUUUCCAUUCCCUUCCAUCAUUCUUUUCAUAUUCUCUAUUUUGUCUUUCUCUUUCUAUAAAAAUAAUAAUAAUAAUAAUAUAAGAUGUUGAUGUGGCUUAACCGUGACCAUUCAAAUAAGAGGGGAGGGUAAAAAAAAGGGAGUAUUUUUGCUCAUCACCAUUUAGUGUGGUAUAUGCUCACCACUUUAUUUAUCACUAUUAGAUGAGUUUGAAUUUCGAAUUGGUGUAGUAGAUAGGUAUAAAUCUCGAAAUUCAAACUUAUCUAAUGGUGAUAAAUAAAGUGGUGAGCAUAAACCACACUAAAUGAUGGUGAGAAAAAAUGCAUUCUAAAAAAAAGAGGGGAGAGAAUCCUUCUCCCAAGUAUAUACCACCAAUGGUGCAAAGGAGAAAGGACAAUGUGAGGAAAGCUAAAAUUUUAAAUUAAAUUUACAAAUUAAAUAAUGUGUAACAAAAAAAAAAAUUAAUGUGCUUGAAACACAAAGUUGUACACCAUGUGUCUCUAACAAGUGGUGAGAUUCUUGUGUUGAAAAAAUAAUAACAUAAAACAUAAAAUUUCCCACCACUUAUAUAAUAACACGUGUACCACUUGCAUUACGGGCAUAAGGAAAAAUUGCUAGUGUCACCAAUAGGUGCACGUUAAUCAAUACUUACAUAAUAAUUUAAUCAUCAACUACAUCGUUUGGUUUAAAAAUUUAGUAUCCUUAACAUUAUCCAAAGAGAAAUGCUAAGAGACUCAAAGGGUGAGAUUCUGCAAUUUCACGGUUUGAUGUUGAUUUGCAUGUCAAUGUAUAAAACAAUGUUGAUCCAAUCACACACAAGUAUAUACCACCAACGGUACAACUAAGGAGAAGUUUCGAACGAUCCCGCUACAUCAGGACCCUUUUAGAGCAUGUUUACGUACACGUAAUGGGAAUCAAAACAUGAAAUUAUAUUCCGAUUACGGACCAUUUCUAUGUUUACUAAAUUUUAAGGAAUCAAAAAUAUAGUGGGACCCACACAAAGUUUGGAAUUCAAUUCCUCACUUUGGAGGAAUUGGAUCCCUUGAUAGUAAGUGGUAUUUGAGUUUCGGAAGAAUGAGGGAAUGGGGAAUCCAUUUUUCAUACCCAUAAUGCCCUCACAUAAUUGCUGAAAUUCCAAUGAUAAAACAAGCACAGGUGCCCAGCGCUAGUCUGUUUCCUUCUCCCUCACUACCGCCCCCUUCCUGUCUUCCCAAGGCCACAUACCCACCAUCAUCUUCUUAGACAACAACGACAGCCAUAAAACAAGAAUAAGCGAAAGCUGAAGAAGAACCCAUUUUAGUUUUUUUUUAUUUUAAACAAUGCUAAAAACCAAACUCCGGACAUUCAAUCAACAUGAAAUACCCCGUAAACUAAACUUCAAAGAAAUUACAUCACCACAACCAACACUUCCCAUAGGCCUCAAACCAACCGUGAAUUUCAAAUUGUUGAAAGAUGAUUGAGGCAGAGAUAGAGAGAACGGUUGGGUUGGGGUUUGGGUUAGUUUUUUAUUUUUAAUUUUAUAUCAAUUGACUUGAUUUCCUGUAAGUUUUUAUAAAAUAUUUAUUUAUAAUAAAAGACAUUCUAGUAAUCAUACAAAUUUUCAUUCCGAUCAAGUGAAUUAGUAAACAACUUACAUUCAAACAAGACCAUUUAUACUCUGAUUCCAGAUUUAAUGGAAAUCUGGAUUUCAAUUCUCCUCAAUUCAAUUCAAUUCCCCCUCAAUCCAAUUCUGUCUAUUUUGAUUAAGGAUUAAUAAACGAACCCUUAAUGUUGAACAAAAGUCAGUACUUUACAUUAAGCUAGAACUAAAAAGGCUACUCCUAGUAGAAGUGACAGAAUUAUUGUUGAGUACGUAGCAAAAUUAUUAAGCAUUUGAGCUAGAACUGUUCGUACAUUUUUUAUCUGGCCUGGUCGAGCAGUGGUACAGCUACAGAGUACUAAUUUAUAUGCCUAACGUUAUAAAACUACAAUAAUAUUUCUCAAUUAUUUUAUAAUUUAAUUUGUUGACACUUCUCAACUGAAUUAUGAAAGCACCGCCGCGAGCCCAGGGACAAGAUACCUCGAGUCCUGACGCAUUCAGGUAUUGUCGCAUAGAUAAUCAUAAGUAAAGUUCCACCAGAGAGAACCAAAUUUGACGAGUUCAGCGGCUUAUACUUUUAUGGGUAUUUGUAGUAUGAUUUUCUUAGAUUUAUUAUUUACAUUAAACGUAUUCGUUUAAAUUUUUUAGAUUAGUGACCGAUUAAAUAUUCAAAUUUCAACUCAAAUCAGAGAUAUAUGAGAACGAACAACUUUUUCUCAAACACCAUUUUUUGUUCUUUGGGAACCAAAAUACAUGGAAAAGUAAAGAUAGGAGCAGCUUCAUCGAUCAAAAUUAUCGAGCACAAACACACACACCAAUACCAUCGAACUACCCGGAAACCAGAACCAGAACAGACCAUGACCCUAAAACACAACCAGAAAACGUUAACACUAAC